UGUAUGAUGAGAGUUUAAAUUCCUACUACAGCCAUAUAUACAUGCUUGCUAGACUUUGAGCCACACAUUUACUUUUUACUGCUUAUGAGCAUUGAGUGUGGUCAAGCUGUGUAGACCUUAGGAGCUUGUCAUGUGGUUAAAAUCAAGAUUCACUUGCACGUUCACUCAUACAUGCUGCUUCUACUCCGGAAGUACGCAUCCACAUAUAUCCACUCAUUUCCAUCUCCAGAACCACCCAAAAAUAUUCUACUCCUAAUCCGGGAGAGAAUAGCCAAAAACAUUUCUGUUUUUCUCCUGUGAAAUAAAUGCUCAAGUUAUCUUGGUUACUGCCACUUGCUACAUUAUUUCAAGAGAUGAGUGCUCUAAAAAAAGAGAGAGAGAAAAAAAGAUACGAGGAAAUAAAAAGGGGCAAGUGCCUGGAUCCUCGAAAGAAAAGAAAAAAGUGAGACGAGAGGUAAAAAUGGACAAGUGUCCGAUAGUAGAAUUAGGGGUACAAGAUACCCACCUGAGAGGAAAGAAAAAGAAAGUGUAGAGCAUCUCAUUCUCCUCAAAAAGUUUUAAAGAGCAAGGAAGGUAUGUAUCCCCUCAAAAGAGCACCCGUAGAAUUAGACUUUCACCAUUGUUUUCACCAUUGUUAUCCCCAUCAUCACCAUACACCAUUCAUUCGCCACACAUGCACAUCUUGAUUUGACUUAUUGACUUGUUUCAUUGGAUCCAUGGUUUGACUAUGCAAUAAAUGUCUUGUAAGUAUGUAUACUUUAUCUUCUACCUAUGAGCUCCAGAUAUUAAAGCCUUAUUAGAGUAGGGUGAGAGAGAAGGCAAUGUCACUAUGUCUUAUACAACAAAUACUACAUACUUUGAGAGAAGGCAUAUACCAUCACUGCCUUGGUAAGGAUCUAGAAAUACCACAAAAGAGAGAUCUGAGAGAAUCAUACAAGGAAUCUCUGAGUUUUAUUUGAAAAUCUGCAAAAACUUCAGAGCUAUAGCUGAUCAAGAAUAAGAGACAUGGCACUUGACUAGACCGUUUUAUCUUUUAACUACUCAAGACAGAAGUGACGGUUACAAGUCCUAUGGUGAAAGGUAAAAUAAGUAAGUUUUAAGUCUUGACGAUUUACUCUAACUCAGAGAUGAGACCUUAUUUGAAAGCAUGUGUACCGUCAACUUUUAAAGGCAUUACAACAACUUCUGAUCCAUCACUGAGAUUAUCCUUGCUCAGGGACGAGCAAGAGGUAAGCUUGGGGGAGUUUGUUGACGGUCCUUAAGUAUCAAAUAUAAUCAGCAAAUAAACAAAGAAAAGGAUGCAAAUGCAAUCGAUAUCCAGACUUAGGGUUUUAUCUGACAGAAUUCCAUGAGUUUUGGUGUUUGUCUAUUUCUGCAGGGGGUUAUCAAGAAAUACGGAAGAAAGGCCCACACGUCGCGAUUACAUAUAGAUAUUAAUGUACCGCGCAAUUAUCUUACAUCUAGAAGGGUCCAGAAGCCACAGGAACGUACCGCCCUCCCCCUUGGGCGCCCGCCCUAGCCUUUCCACCAAUCACUGCCAAUCUCGCGGAUCAUGCUCCACUGACCUAAAGGAUUAAGGAUAACCGUUCAGUCAAUGUCGGUUUGAUCCGACGGCCCACAUUCACUUGGAAGGACUAUAUAACCAGACCCCCUGGCCCCUAGAGGAGGGAGCCUCUCAACCCUAAUUCAUUAUUCAUCUUGGGAGAAGAAGCCUCUGAUCAAGCCCUGGAGCCACCACAUCAAUUAGAUCUCUAGAUUAGCAUAGCUACAUAGGAUUAGAACUAGAAGGAGUCAAUCUUCGAUUGGUUUCCGGAUCUGUCAAGAGGAUUGUUGGUAAUUCUUUAUUGUUCUUCAAUUGUUCAUCUUUGUUCUUCAAUAUUAUGAAUAUGACUUUGUUCUACUUCAAUAUAUUGAUUAUGACUUUGCUCUACUUGUUUAUAUUCACAAUUAUAUUAUUCUUAGUUUAUCAUAGUUAUAUACUUGGCAUAGUUAGAUUGGAAUUAUAUACAAGUUUAGGAUCGUAUAGCAUUUAUCCAUGUGUACAGUGGGUAAAUGAUAAGUAUUGUGUAGGCGUGGUGCCUAUACCGUAUUUAUCUGCGAUUGUACCCUAUAUGCCAGACCGCGGGGUAGUUCGUGGUAGUGACAGCUCCAUUGAUUCUUAUAUAGUCCCCCUCUCGUGUAUUGGGCUGGCAGAGCAACAUUAUUACAGGGGAGUGAUUGCGAUGUUUCUCAUAUUCCUUGAUAAUAUCACUAUGCGUGGGCGUAGUCCUGUCUCGCAAUGAUUGCUAAGUAUAAAUGCACUAACUAUGAUAUGCUAGACUGUAUAGUUAAGAAUAACUUAGGAAAUUUUCUUGUAGUUCGUCCUAAUUCCAUGCUAAUGACUGGCUAGAAUAUCUAAUUGAGGUGCUUAUCAUAUUUAUAUGUGGCUAAGUUAUGCUGAUCAGAUUAAUUAUCUUCGUCACCAUUUAUACUUUAUAUAUCUUUUGUGUGACACUUAUCCCUGUAUGAAAGAGAUAGAUAGAUGCUCUCAAUUAUACAUGCAAUGAUAGAUACUCAAUUCUAUAUUCCAUUCUAUAAUCAACAUUGAUGAUUACUAAUCCCUUCCUAGUGGUAAAAAUAUAAAUAACGAUACCUGGAAUACUUCCCGGUUAAAAUGCUACAUCAGUAUUAAUCUGUGCGCUUGCAGAUCUCAUUUAUUAUUUAUUUAGAAGAGCAAUUGCAUAUUUCAAUACCGCGUCUUUCAUGUCAUGCUGGGGAUGACAACUUGGCUUAAGUGGCAUGGGGGAUAGAUUUUGCAUUUUUGGUGCCAUUAUCAGAAUUAGAAAACUAAGUCUACUUUUGGUAGUGACGUUAAGAAUGCCCAACAGUAGCUCGCGAGGGUGACUCUUAUAGCCUCACUAAAUCUUCCAUAGUCCACCUCUCAUUUGUAGGCCAAGUAGGACCUGGUUGCUAAGGAAAACAUCCUCUGCUGGUAUCUUUUCUUAAGUAAUGUCCCCAUUUGAACAAUACUAAAUAUAGGUUGCGAAGGUUAGAACUAGAAAACCCUAGUGAUCUUCUCUAUAUCCCUAUCAUCUCUAUCUUUGUUGCUUCUCAAGGGUUAAGCAUAGAUUUAGUUAGUCUCUCAUGUUAUUCUUGUGGAUAAAUACAAUACUCUAGAAUAUCCUAGAUAAAGUGCUACAUCGAUAUCCAUGCACUUGUAGAUCUCUCUAUAUGAUUAUUCUAUGUGUGUUAACAAAUACCAACACUAGGCAGAUUGUUACAUAGUCAAUCUAUGUAGUAGCGAUGAUCUCAAAUUAAUUCUAUGAUGAAUUGAUUGUACUCCACACGAUAGAACCAGAACACACCAUGUGAUCAAAUAAAUAUGAGACACAUGGAGGAACCAGCCCAGGACAUGUGACAUGUGGGCUAUUAAUAAUUCAGCACAUGGAACACUAGUAUAUUUGCACACUAUACAGGCGGUUGGUAACAUAUUUCUACAGGCGUUUUCCGGAUCCGCCUGCGCUGGAGGCCAGUACAAAUCGUCCAUUUCCAUAGGCGGUCUCUUGAGAGCCGCCAGUAUAAACCUUUUACACAGGCGGCUCUCUUAGGAAACCGCCUGUGUAAAUGUUCAUUUACACAGGCGGUUUCCUAAGAGAGACGCCUGUGUAAACCUAUUAAAAUAUGCAUUAUUUAUUUAUUUUUUAAUUUAUCUAUUUAUUUAUUUAUUAUUUUAUUGUUAUUAUUUAAAUAUAUUGAUAUUGGUUGGUCUUCUAACAUAGCAACAUGUAAUUUAAAUACUUCAUCUCAUACAUACAUUUGUAUACAUCAAAGUUUGGUGCUCAAAGACAUAAAGUUAAUUACAAGAGUAUAUCCAUCAUCACACAUCAUAUAUAUAUACAUCAAAGUUUGUUUCUGUCCUCUAAUAACCCUCUUUAGUAAGUUUGAGCUUACUAAUCUCUGUUAGCACUCGGAACUCUAGCCUGGAUAAUUGGCUUUCAUCAUCAUGAUAUUUGCCUUCACGUGGAAUGACAUGCUUCAUGAUGAACGAGCAGAUGUCCUCAACUAUGUUGUCUAAAGCACGUUCGUCCAUGCGCUCCGCCGUCCUUUGCUUAUAUACCUGCAAAGAAAGUUUAUAAACAUUAUAUAUUUUAUGACUUCCAACUUUAAUAGACUAUUACUUAUAUUACCUUAGCAGGGUUCCUUGCAUAUCAUCCGUUUUCUCUCAUGUUCUCGCACACGUAGUAGUCACAGAGGACAGAUAACGGUGGUUGCUUCAUGCACUGUAUAACAGGAGAGUGGUUAUUUAAUUAUAGUUGCAACUGUGGUCGUAUAUGUAUGAUUUGUAUUCAUAAUAGUAAAUUUUUAUACGUACCGGCCAGUUAUGUAUAACCUCCAAUGGUUGCCCUGGUCUCUUGGACUCGCACUUUCCAUGAUUUAUCUUAUAGAACCUGUAUGCCCUAUGAUCUCAAAUAGAAUCACCAUGUUAUUGUCAAUUUCUCACUAUGCUUAAGUAUGCAUGCAUAGCUUGACUUACAGCUCUAGCAGUUUGAUGAAUGGAGCAUAGCUUUCUUUCGUGUAAUCUGCGGAGUCUAGUACCAACACCCUUCCCUCCUUGGGAUAAAUGACGAAGCAUAUCCAAUGCCUCCUGCUCAAAUUAAAUCCAUGAUGCAUUUAUGCAUUGGAAUAAUUUAGAUAGAUAUUUGUAAACUCACACUUACCCAAAGUGGUACGGGGCCACCACCGCUUUCCUGUCUUGAAACUUUAUUAGUGAAUGUCCAAUGUAGAAGGCGUAUUUAGCUUCAAAAUCAAGUUUCAACUUUCGGAGUUUCUCAUCCCGUUCUGCACCUUCCAAACCCCGUACCUCUGUGCUGUCAUUCCCGAUCCGGAAUGUGUGCUGAUCUUCGGCUAUAUCUAUUGGGCAAAGAUAGGCAUUCCUUUCUUCGGCACAAUAAUUUAGGUCCGAACCAAAAUACAUAUCUUGUUGAUCAUAUAACAUUCUGCAAGACAGAAGCAUGUCAGAUAUUGAAAAUUAAUGCAACUAUAAUGUGUGUAACUAUGUAACACUUACAAUGCAAAUGCCGUUACGAUCUGUACAUCUAGCAUCUCGUGGUUCAUCAGUGCCCACAUGUCAUCAAAUGUAAGCAUGCAUUUGUCAGUACUCUGGCUGAGAAAUGCUAUUUGUGGUAUGCGCAUGCUUAUGGUGUCGAUACCAGUCAUGAAACCUUUUUAUACCACUUGGUUUCUUCAUAAGUUUGGUCCGACUGAGUAGAGGCUUUCCCCACACGUACUUUUUGGGGAUAGUCUUGUAGUCUUCUGCAGUUGGCACCUUGAAAUUGACAGGAGUUAUGACCUUAGGCGCCGGCACCUCUGACUUUGCUAGCUUAGAAAUCUCAUGCUCUUGUAUUGUGCGUUUUGAAGCAAUGCCUGACAAAAAUCUCACUUGCCCAGCUGAUUUUUUCUUUGGCUCGAAUGGUGAAAUCAACUUAGGUAUCAGAAAUACUUUCUUCUUUGUCACCUUUGGUGGCUCACUUAUUGGUUCUGGAUCUUUCAGUUGUGGGGAAGGGGUGGAAUUGAAUGGUGGUGGAGAUUGUGUUGACUGUGGGGUAGAAAGAUCAUGGAGAGGAGAUGGUUGAUGGACAGGGAAAACAUGGAGAGGUGAUUCUGGUGGGUCAGGAAGAGACUGGAGAGGUGAAGGCGGUGGGUUAGGAAGAGGAUCGACAUGAGCUGACGACUCUUGGGUUAGUGGCAUCUCUUGAGAGGGUGGUGGUGGCUCCCUUAGUUGCACGUCCCUCCGAGGCCAUAGGAUGAAAUUGUUUAUCAUCUAUCCUAGUUUCACAUUGUCCUCGGGACCAGGGAUGUCUAGAAUCUCGUCCUCAUAUCCUUGGACCACGGUUGAUACCUCUACUCUGCAGUAGUCUUUAGGGAUGUCAGCACCAUGGUAUUUAGGUCCUCCUGGGAUCGCUUUGCCCGUGGCUACUUCCCUUGUACGAUGAUUGUUAAUCCCAUAUCUUAUGACAAGGGAGCAAGGUGUAGAACUAACAAUGUCGUCAAUUGGAUAGUGAUCCUUAUUUGCCGUAGAUGCGACACUGCUUGGAAUGAUUGUUUCACUUGAUGCCACCAACGGUUGCGACACCACUGGGACAAGCUGCAUUUCGGGAGCUUGAGUGCUCAUUUGGGUAGCUGCAUUUGACAUGGCACUCGCUAGUUUCUGCAUCAACUCAGGAGGAGGAUUUUCUAGCAACUUCUCCAUCAUCUCUUGGAAGUCUUUCUAAGCCUCUUCCUGAAAAUAAUGUGCCAUUUGAUCCUUGUACCGAUCACGUUUCUUAUACUCAUUUGCCCAUUGAGGUCCGAAUCCAUCCUUCCAUCCUUCUUUGGAUGAAAUGCCUCGAACACGGCCAGGAUGCUCGGGGUUACCGAGGCCAACACUAAGUGUGUCCCUCUCCCUUUGUGGCGUAAACUUGCCUUUCUGCUGCAUGCCUGCCACAGCAAAGAUGCUCUUCAUUGCUUCAUCAAGCAUUGGGUCUUCAAAGGACACACCUGUCUCGGUUUCCUUUGGUUUCCGAGCACCGAUUCAAUUCGUGGACCUUUCACCGACUUGCUCGGACAACACUGGCAACCCUACUGCCUUCUUCCCAGCCUCUUCUUGCCUCCAUUUAGGAACUUGGUGCCGGUAACUACCUGUGCCUAGAUGGUGGUGGUACUUGUUCCUCUUUGCGAGCUGGGAGUUGGCUUCGCACCGAGCUAAGAAGUUAGGGUCAUUCCUCUGCUCUAGAAAAUGAGCCCACUGCCCUUUAGUAAUAUUGUAUUUGGAUGUCAGAUCCAUCCCUGUCUUAGCAUACUUGACAUUCAUCUCCGACCUCCAAUUUCGGAAACUAACCGCACAUUGCUUCAUUGUAUAUGCCUUCACUAAAUCUUCUGGCACAUUCCUAGGAAACUGGAACUGGUCUUAAUCUUAUCCCAAAUUUUGAUCUUGUGAUUAUUCGACACACCGGCCCAGUUCUUAACUGUGAUAUCAAGAAAGUCCCUCACACAGAAACUAAUUGCAUUCCUAUAUUUGGGUAGGGCCUCCUCUGGAGCUAGGGGCUGUCCGGUAGGGCUCACAUCUGUGAUGGCAUAUGUGUCAUCUGGAAAUUGGUUAAACUCUCUCUCGCCUCGUUUCAAACCUUGUCGCUUCCUUUUCCUAGACUGACAUGGCCUCUCAGGGCUCGUCGUUGCUGUCGUCGGUUCCGGUGCGUCUUCGUGUGCCACUUCCUCCUGAGACAUCAUCUCUCUAAACUGAGACAUUGCCUCCUGAGUAUAGACAUGUGAAUCAUGGGUGUGUUUAUAUGUAGGAACUAUGAAUAGAAAUCAUUUAAUUACAUGAAAUCGUGAAUGUCUCUAAUUUACCUCAUCGGCUUCUGGAUUGUAAUCGGGGUCACGUGCCAAUUCACGACGAGUCUUCCUCACUUCUGGAGGCUCCAUGUCGUCGCUAGCUUCUUGUUCAUAGGACGAACCUGAUGCUUCGCCCGUUUCUACUUGUUUCGUGACCUCACGAGCUUGUUCCAUAGGGUCAGUUGACCCUUCUACUUGCUCCGUGGGUUGGGAUUGCAGUGUUUCGUCCUUGUGCGGAGAACUCAUCGCAGAAAUCUAUGUAAUUUAUACAUAAAAUUAAAUGAUUUACAUACACUAAUAUAUCAUACACUAAUAUAUACAUAAUAUAUCAUACACUAAUAUAUUAAAUGAAUUACAUAUACACUACUACAUAUAUAAGCAGAUUAAAUUUACAUACACUAAUAUAUACACUAAUAUAUCAUACACUAAUAUAUACAUAAUAUAUCAUACACUAAUAUAUUAAAUGAUUUACGUAUACACUACUACAUAUAUAAACAGAUUAAAUUUACAAAAUUCCAGCCCAACAGGCCCAGCAGGCCGUCACUCCCUCUCCCUUCUCUCCCUCUCUCUGGCAGGUGGGCCCCACCUGUCGGGGUCAUCCCCUACCUCCAGCCACCGCCGCCACCGCACCGCCCUUUCCACCACCGCACACCCCGCACCAGCCCCAUCCUCUUCCACCAUCGCCACUGUUGACGGUCCUUAAGUAUCAAAUUUAAAUAUCAAAUAAACAAAGAAAAGGAUCCAAAUGAAAUCAACAUCUAGACUUAGGGUUUUAUCUGACAGAAUUCCACGAGUUUUGGUGUUUGUCUAUUUCUGCAGGGGGUUAUCAGGAAAUAAGAAAGAAAGGCCCACAUGUCUGGAUUACAUAGAGAUAUCAACGCACCGCGCAAUUUUCUACCAUCUAGAAGACUCCAGAAGCCACGAGACCGAAGCGGAGGCGAAACGGGGCCAGGACCUGGGCGCCCGCCCAGUUUCCUUGGGCGCCCGCCCACCUGCCGAGCCCAAUCAGGACUCUUUCUCUCGGGAGAUCUCCACCGACCUAUUGGAUCCAGAAUAAUGUAGUACCACCUCGCCUACUGACCCAAAAGCGUAUAGAAGGGGAGGACUAUAUAAGGAGACCCCCCUGGCCCCUGGAGAAGACAAGAAAUUAUCAUAGAGAUUGAGGGGUGCCCUCGAAGGAAAACCUCUUCUCUAAAUCAUAUUUCUUUUUAGGCUUAGCAACCAAUGUAAAGUAGAAAUAGAUCUUCUAGUUUCUACUAGAUUGAGAGAGAUAGAGUGGAGGUGUGGAUCGGAGGAAGGCCGGCCUGUCGGUGUCUACUCUGAGUUGUACCUACGGGAUCAAGUCUCCUAACCCGAGGCUUGCUUCUAAGAUUCUUCAGUAAUUCGACUUCUAAUACUAGUAAGUUCUUGUUUUAUUGUUCUUUGAUUUAUGAGUUUACUUUAAUCCUCUUCCGGUUGAGUAUUAGAGUAAUCACUUGUUGGCGUAAACGUGGUGUUUAGGCUAGGGUACUCAUAGAUAUCCCCUGACUAGCUGGACCGUGGUAGUAGCGAGGAACGUGACAUUUCCGAGUUACCUUUGUAUCCCAUAUCUUGUUAGCAGGACGGGUAGGGUUAUAGGUGCGGGUCGAACAUCCUUUGUGUUGUCUAGAUUCCGUGAGCCUCCCCAAUAGAACAGUAGAUCAUCCUUACCAAGGUUAGAACGAGACUACGGUUGCAGUCUUCUCUAUACAUCACUCACAUCGAGAGACAUUCUUUGUAGCCUAAAGGGGUAGUAGCAAUAGAUUUGGUUAGUCAGAUGCACCAUUUCUCCCAGUGGUAAAAAUAAAAAUACGAUAACUCUGGAAAACCUCCCAUGUGAAAUGCUCACCGAUAUCCGUGCGCUUGCGGAUCAUUUCCUUAUUGCGUUACCAAAUAUCAACAAGCAUUUCUGGCGCCGUUGCCGGGGAGAAAGACGGUUUGCUGAGAUAACUUUGAGUCUUGCUAUUAUCUUGUAUUAUACUUUUAUGCUUUUAUUCUUUUAUCUUUUUAUUUUUAUAUUUAUGGAUACCUUAAAUUUCAUACCUAUUUUAAAAUUCUUUGCACCUUCGGAGACCAGCCAUUGUUGACGGUCCUUAAUGCUCACAUUUAACCAUCAACUAAUCAUAGAAAAGGAUCCAAAUGCAACCAACACCUAGACUUAGGGUUUUAUCUGACAGAAUUCCACAAGUUUUAGUGUUUGUCUAUUUCUGCAGGGGGUUAUUAGGAAAUAUGAAAGAAAGGCCCACACGUCGGGUUUACAUAGAGAUAUUAACGUGCCGCGCAAUUUUCUACCAUCUAGAAGACUCCAGAAGCCACAGGAACGAACGGGAGGCCGAUCGGGCCUGGGGGCAGGGCGCCCGCCCAAGUCCCUUGGGUGCCCGCCUAGCUACAGUAACCAAUCAGCUUCAACUUCACGGAUCGUGCUCCACCGACCUAAGGGACCAAGGAAAACCGUGCGAUCAAUGUCGGUUUGAUCCGACGGCCCAGAUUCACUUGAAGGGACUAUAAAACCAGACCCCCUGGCCCCUGGAGAUCAUACCUCUUCUACAGAAUCAAAGCUAGGGUUUCAAUUCUUCAUCCAAGUAGAGAGGAUCCCUCUAGUUCUUCUAGUUCUACCUCUAGUUCAUCUAGAUCUAGUUCUAGUUCAUCUAGUUCUAGUUCUAGUUCCUCUAGUUCUAGUUCUAGUUAGUUCUAGUUGUAAUCUAGAAAAUAGGGAGAGAGAAGAGGAGAGCGGAGGAGGAGCCGGAUCUGUCGGAUCUUCCUCAACAUUAUACUUUUGCAGCAUCUGGUUCGUUCUUCAUCGUUCUCCAGGUUCUUCAAUUCAUAAUCCUGAGUUCUCUAAUUACUUUUAUUUACAUUCAAGUUAUUUAUUGGAUUCCCGCUUGCAUCAAGUGCUCUAGUCUUUAUAACGCUAGAGUAGUAAUUAAUAGAUUAGACGUGGUGUUUAGUCUUGCAAUUACCUGGAAUUGCACCUAAUCCUGCAGAUUGUUGUGGUAGCCUUAGGGUAGUGACAGCUCUAACGAUCGACGUAUUCCACCACGUUCGGAUCGGUGUUUGUAGGACCGUAGUCAGACCUUCCUAGCCCCCUUCUCAUCUCUUUCUGUGGUUAGUGCUCUGAUGUCCCGAUAUAGAUAAUCUUGAAGUAAUUCUCGAUUCUUAGAUCAACUAGAGAACUCUCAAGAAACUUCCUCUCUUCCCACCAAAAAUAAUUAUAUAGUUAUCCUUGAGCGAUCUUGGAUCUUAAUUAGUACACUCACGUUCUCUGUGGAAAAUCGAUACUCUGGAAUACUCCCGGGUGAAAGCUACAUCGGUAUCCGUGCGCUUGCGGAUUUUUUUCUGUUUGCGUUUAAAAUACCCAACAGCCAUAGACCAUGGGAGUCAACACGUCCUGCCCCUAAUUAUGAUCUGUGUCUGGAGUUGAUUGCAAUAGGUCAAAACCAACCCUUUUCUAUAGCCGAGGUCCUAUCUUUUAAUCAAGAAGUUAAUGCACUUUUAGCUACACCUAGGAAAUCUGUUAAUCUUUCUAUAAAUUUUGGUUUAGACCUAGCCCUACAAGACCAUGUCUUUUCUCGAUAUUUUUACAUUGGUCUUUAUCAUAUAACCUUUGGUGGAGUCUUUCUUUCUUUAUCUAUUAGUAAAGGAAGGUAUGUCUUCAUUCGUGGAUAUCCUUCUUGUACUAGUCUUCAUAGAAAAAUCUUAGAGAUAGAGAAGGAAUCAUCUCCCAAACAAGGAAAGGAAGUUUCAAUAGCCAAUUUCCCAACAUUUCAAUCCCAUGAUUCGCCUAUCCAACCCAUCCUUGAGCUUAAUAAUUUAUACUCUUCUCUUUCUCUUGAACCUCCCGAUGAUCCAAUGAAUCUAUCUAGACAUCUCAUUCAUAAGAGUCACCAAGACCACAAGGAGGAUUGAGAAGAGCAACAUCAAUGGCUAGAGGGCAUUAAAAAUCAAUGUGCUAUCACCAUUGAAUGGAUAGAUAAAACAAACUUGAGAGACAAUCCUAGAGGAAUUUUAAGCAUUCAUGAAGAAUCAUCCUUGGAGUUUGAGAAUGGGAGGAACAACAGUGAGCAUGGAAGUUAUUUCAUAAAUACUUCACCAAGUCCUUGUUCAUAUAAAACAUCUCUCAAAUCAAUUGGUCUCUCCAAUCUUACCACAUUUGAGAUCUCCAACCCUCUCUUCCUUUAUAUUUAUAACAACUUAAACAGAGCGGUUGUCGAUGCAUAUGUCUAUAAUAAAUAUUGCAGAUCUCGUUGAGUUGAUCUUGAUAUAGGUCAGCGUUAGAGGGGAAACCACUUCGCUGGCACAAAUUGAUGGUUUCCCAAGGACAAGCUUAGUGUCCUAAAACAAGCACUGAUCAGAUCGUAACUUGAAUUAUUUGCAACAUUACCUUGUGUAUCGAGCAUAUAAAGAUAAUUGUAGAAAUAUUCCUUCGGGUAUUCUUGCCACUAACCCUUCCAGGAUUGAAGCAAGAAGAUCGGAUGAAUGACAAGCACAAGGUAUGUCCAACCAACCAUCACACAACAUUGAAUUAAAUUCAUCCAAACUUGAAUUUUGCAAAAUUCAAGCUUGGGGGAGUACUUUACAUAAAAACAUCUUUUGCCAUGUUGCUACGUUGGUUGUCCUUACCUUUGAGACAUGCUAAAUUUGUUAAAUACUAAUUACACUACUUCAUCUCCACUUAAGUAGAUCUCUAUAAAUGCUCUCAAGCUAACUUUAUUUGCUUUAGUAUAUGUCUAGGCUUGGAAUAGUUUCAUUUAUCUCUUAAUUAAGCAUGGUGCUUAGUUUAGGAAUGAUGAUCUUACUUCCAAGGUAUUUUAAAUUAGGCAUGGUGCUUAGGUUAAAAUUCCCUUCUAAAUCAAAUUAGACAUGGUGUCUAGGUUGAUUUUUGAGCCGAUAGUAUGCUAUAGUAGAUUUGGGAUAUUUUGUUGGACUAACCCCUGCAGGAAAACUUUCAAUAUCAACCUGGGAAGUCCUGAGAUACAAACUCAUUGGAGAUAAAGGAGACACAAGAAGUUUAACAAUUUGCACAAGAAAGAUGUAGCUCAUAAGAGAUGAUUCAUGGAGAAUGCCACAAACACGAUGCACAACCGCUAAGAAAGGAAAGCUUCCACAAGGUGAUACUGUACCAUCACUAUUCAAGUAAGGUAACAUUUUAAGGUACUUGACUAUCGCUUUUAUAAGCUUCUCCUUGGUUCUAGCAUUCACAUAAAUAAAGAGACAAACAUGUAUGAUUUAUAACUCCAGAUUAACCAACUCAAUUAAUUCAUCAUGUUUAGUCCUUAAUCUUUGUUCUUAGUACUACCUUCGUGAUCCCAUACUCCUAAUCAUAUAAGUUAAAAUGUUGCACAUUCAAUCUUUGGAAGAUAUAAACAAAACAUAAAUCGAUUAUCUUUCCAUUACGUUGAGCCAUCUGAUCUAACAAAUGUUUUAAAUGCUACACUCAUGAUCCAUCAACUUUGUCUUGCUCACUAUGCUUAAGGUUAGAGAAGGACAAAUACACUUUUGGUUCUGUUGGUGUUUUCCACCAACAGGGCCCAUGCACUUGAUCUCUGCCUUGUCUCUAUGAAUAGGUACACUUCAAACAAAACAUGGAGGAGUUUUACAACUCCCAGAUUCCACCAAGUGAAGAAUCGGGAUCUACGAGCACAAACACAAUGAAGAUCAGACACUUAGUUUCCCAAAGGAAAUAUUGAAGAACCUCUGUGUCUGAGUUGGUACCUUGUAUGCUCCAGCAAACUUCGUGGUGAUAGAGACUGGUACUGAGGAGAGGGCACCCAUCAUCUUAGGGAGGCCAUUCCUAAACACCAGAGCUGUCAUCUACGCUAAUGCUGCCAAGAUCCGUUUCUACAUCAAGGGGGAGAAGGAGACUUUUCUUCAAGAACAAGACUACACAACUUCAGAGCAAUCCCGACAUGAGCCAAGGAAGAGGACCAACAGGAGGAACAGGAACAAGCAAAUGUGGACCGAGUCAGCUAAGAUGGUCAGUGCAGCUCAAGGAGGUCAAGAUCGUCGACUCAAGUCACCUUUCUUGAUCAAGAAGGACGACCCUGGUGUUCCAAGCAUUGACUGCACAAUCAACAAAUACUCUUUUUAGAAGACACUCUACGACACCGGAUCUGACGUCAACAUAAUGACCGCAGUCACUUAUCACCUCCUGCAUGGAACCAUGCCCCUACAACCAAUAUAUAUUUAGCUCCAGAUGAUUUUCAGGUCAUUGACAUGGGAGAAGACGAGUAUGAUCCACCCACCAUCCUUGGAAGACCAUUCCUCAACACUAUCAAAGCAAUCAUCUACAUUGGAACCGGAGAAGUCCACAUGCACUUCCCCUCUGAGAAGGUACGCCGCUAUUUGACUGACCCUAACUAUAUAGUUGAAGACUCUAAGCAGGUCAGGACAAGAAGAAGACAACGCAACCGCAACCAGAGGAGGCAAAUCAUCAAGGACGGAUGGACAGACUACAAAGGAGAAGUGGUAAGGUCUGAAGACAUACAGCUUGAACAGAACUGUCCUGAGGAGACCGUAGCACCGAGUCAGAUGUGGAAAGAGAAGAUAGUUAUACACGAAGAGGAGGCGCCGCCGGAACCACCGACUACGCCACCUAGCGAAUCCCAGGACGACUGAAAAUACAAGAAGUCCCGUUCAGAGGACUUAAAAACACCGAAUGCCUUGCCAAGAGGUAAACUUGGUAGUUAUCCUUUUCCAUUCAAUAGUUUGCUUAGUUAAUCAGGUUCAUAAAAGAAAAUAAAAAUGUUAAAAAAAUAGUAAGCCCCAUGUGAGUAUGCUCAUGGCAUAAAACCCAUAAGUACAUUCACUGUGGUGGCAUAAAAAUAAAAUAAAUAAGUUUUCAUCUUACAAUAAAAAUAUAAAAAUAAUAAGUGCAUGAUCCUGCUAAAUAAGUAAUAUUUAUUAAGGAGGCUCAACAUGAUAAUGGCUAGAUAUUUAUGCUAACACUUAACCAGUUCCACAAAGCUUUGUUGUCUAUUUGAGCUCCACAGAAUUCAAGGAUCAAAGAAGACUAGCAGACGGAGGACAUUCUAAUCGCUGUCGGAAUGCUGCUGACUUUCAAAUACACCUCUGCUACCUGCUAGCUACAUCAGAAGAAAUUACGUCAAAAUCCAGCUUGGGGGAGAGCACCCCCAUUUAUCCAGCUAAGUGUUUCUACUCGCGUUUAUACUUUACUCAAAUAAUAAAAGAUGCAUAAUCAUGAAAACUCAAAUAAAGAUUUUGUGCUUUUAUAUAUAUUUUUUUGCUUACUUUGCUAAAUAAAUAAAUAAAUAAAGUUUGCUAUGAACCCUCAUGAUAAGCUCUCAUAUGGAAAUGAUGAAUAGUUGCUCUGCCAUGACUAGUUCUUAAAAUUGAAAUCUCUCUCAAGUUUAGGCAUAACUGUUAUAAUUUAUACCUGCUUUAAACCUGAACUUGUGGGAAGAUUACUUGAUCUAAAGUCUAAGUUGUUAAUGGAUAUGAUAGGGAAGGUUGAGCUGCUGUUUAUCUGUUCCUAGAGAUGCUAGAAUUCUGGAGAAUUUUAUCUUUGAAAAUCUUUAAAAUAACACAUGAUGAGUUCCUAUAUGAUGAGAGUUUAAAUUCCUACCACAACCAUAUAUACAUGCUUGCUAAACUUUGAGCCACAUAUUUACUUUCUACUGCUUAUGAGCAUUGAGUGUGGUCAAGCUAUGUAGACCCUUAGUAGCUUGUCAUGUGGUUAAAAUCAAGAUUCACUUGCACAUUCACUCAUACAUGCUACUUCUAUUCCGGAAGUACGCAUCCACAUACAUCCACUCAUUUCCAUCUCUAGAUUCACCCAAAAUUAUUCUACUCCUAAUCCGGGAGAGAAUAGCCAAAAACAUUUUCCUAUCCCUCUUAUUCUCUGUGAAAUAAAUGCUCAAGUUAUUUUGGUUACUACCACUUGCUACAUUAUUUUAGGAGAUGAGUGCUCUAAAAAAAGAGAAAGAAAAAAAGAGAAAAAAAAAUAAAUACGAGGAAAUAAAAAGGGGCAAGUGCCCGGAACCUCGAAGAAAAGAAAAAGUGAGACGAGAGGUAAAAAUGGACAAGUGUCCGACAGUAGAAUUAGGGGUACAAGAUACCCACCUGAGAGGAAAGAAAAAAAAAUAUAGAGCAUCUCAUUCUCCCCAAAAAGCUUCAAAGUGCAAGAAAGGUAUGUAUCCCCUUAAAAGAGCAAAAAUAGAAUUUGACUUUCACCAUUAUUAUCAUCAUCAUCACCAUACACCAUUCAUUCGCCACACAUGCACAUCUUGAUUUGACUUAUUGACUUGUUUCUCUGGAUCCAUGGUUUGACUAUGCAAUAAAUGUCUUGUAAGUAUGUAUUAGCUGUCUCCCACCUAUGAGUUCCAGAUAUCAGAACCUUAUUAGAGUAGGGUGAGAGAGAAGGCAAUAUCACUAUGCCUCAUACCAAAAAUACCACAUACUUUGAGAGAAGGCAUAUACCAUUACUGCCUUGGUAAGGAUCCAGAAAUACCACAAAAGAGAGAUCUGAGAGAGUCAUAUAAGGAAUCUCUGAGUUUUAUUUUCUGCAAAAACCCCAGAGCUAUAGCUGAUCAAGAAUAAGAGACAUGGCGCUUGACUUGACCGUUCUAUCUUUUAACUGCUCAAGACACAAGUGACGGUUACAAGCCCCAUGGUGAAAGGUAAAAUGAGUAAGUUUUAAGUCUUAACAGUUUAUUCUAACUCAGAGAUGAGAUCUUGCUUGAAUGCGUGUGUACCUUUAAGAAAUGAAACCACUGCAGAAACUCUUGAGUUCAUCCUUGCUCAGGGAUGAGCAAGAGGUAAGCUUGGGGGAGUUGUUUACGGUCCUUAAGUAUCAAAUUUAAUUAUCAAAUAAACAAAGAAAAGGAUCCAAAUGAAAUCAACAUCUAGACUAAGGGUUUUAUCUGACAGAAUUCCACGAGUUUUGGUGUUUGUCUAUUUCUGCAGGGGGUUAUCAGGAAAUAAGAAAGAAAGGCCCACAUGUCAGGAUUACAUAGAGAUAUCAAUGCACCGUGCAAUUUUCUAACAUCUAGAAGACUCCAGAAGCCACGAGACCGAAGCGGAGGCGAAACGGGGCUAGGACCUGGGCGCCCGCCCAGUUUCCUUGGGCGCCCGCCCACCUGCCGAGCCCAAUCAUGACUCUUUCUCUCGGGAGAUCUCCACCGACCUAUUGGAUCCAGAAUAACGUAGUACCACCUCGCCUACCGACCCAAAAACGCAUAGAAGGGGAGGACUAUAUAAGGAGACCCCCCUGGCCCCUGGAGAAGACAAGAAAUUUUCAUAGAGAUUGAGGGGUGCCUUCGAAGGAAAACGUCUUCUCUAAAUAAUAUUUCUUUUUAGGCUUAGCAACCAAUGUAAAGUAGAAAUAGAUCUUCUAGUUUCUACUAGAUUGAGAGAGAUAGAGUGGAGGUGUGGAUCGGAGGAAGGCUGGCCUGUCGGUGUCUAUUCUGAGUUGUACCUACGGGAUCAAGUCUCCUAACCCGAGGCUUGCUUCUAAGAUUCUUCAGUAAUUCGACUUCUAAUACUAGUAAGUUCUUGUUUUAUUGUUCUUUGCUUUAUGAGUUUACUUUAAUCCUCUUCCGGUUGAGUAUUAGAGUAAUCACUUGUUAGCGUAAACGUGGUGUUUAGGCUAGGAUACUCAUAGAUAUCCCCUGACUAGCUGGACCGUGGUAGUAGCGAGGAACGUGACAUUUCCGAGUUAUCUUUGUAUCCCAUAUCUUGUUAGCAGGACGGGUAGGGUUAUAGGUGCGGGUCGAACAUCUUUUGUGUUGUCUAGAUUCCGUGAGCCUCCCCAAUAGAACAGUAGAUCAUCCUUACCAAGGUUAGAACGAGACUACGGUUGCAGUCUUCUCUAUACAUCACUCACAUCGAGAGACAUUCUUUGUAGCCUAAAGGGGUAGUAGCAAUAGAUUUGGUUAGUCAGAUGCACCCUUUCUCCCAGUGGUAAAAAUAUAAAUACGAUAACUCUGGAAAACCUCUCGGGUGAAAUGCUCAUCGAUAUCCGUGCGCUUGCGGAUCAUUUCCUUAUUGCGUUACCAAAUAUCAACAGCCACCGCGGCCAUCCCUUCCCCUUCCACCACCACCACCGCGGCCGCCCCCCUUCCCCGUCCGGGCAGCACCACCAUCGCGCCCCCACCACCACCGCCGCCACGUCGAGGAUGCGCAGGGAGAGAGAGAGAACGCGCGAGCAGGAGAGGCUCUCACCGCGGGGCGGCGUCGGCGUCGAGGGCGGAGGAGACGGUCACCGCGCGACGGCGUCGAGGUUGGCAACAACGGCGGCGAUGGCGGCGAUGGCGGUGGAAAAUUUCGGCAGCGUGUCAGCUUAGUUUGAAUGAACAAGGCGCCAAACUUAGAAAAUUUUCGGGCGGAGAAGACCUAGGGUUAUAUAGGCGGGCAUUAGUACAGGCGGUUUGCUUAGCCAAUCGCCUAUACAAAUAGAUUUUCAGUUUAUUUAAAGUUUUCCUUAUAUAUAUUUUUAGAAAUUAUUUAAAUGAUUCAAAAAAUCAUAUCUUUAAAAAUAUUUGUCCUAAAUUAGUGAAAAAACUUUUUUGUGUUCCUCUUGACCAGAGACACAUGUUAAAAAUAUGAAAUUUCAUGUUUGAGGUACUUUUGUAUGCAGCUUUUUUUAUAAUGAUUUAAAUUGAAUAUGUGCCUCAUAUCUUGGCGGCAUUAGUACUAAUGCAUUAGUACUGGCGGUUGGCUAAGCCAACCGCCUGUACAAAUGGAUUUUCAGUUUAUUUAAAGUUUUCCUUAUAUAUAUUUUCAGAAAUUAUUUAAAUGAUUCAAAAAAUCAUAUCUUCAAAAAUAUUUGUCCUAAAUUAGUGAAAAAAAUUUUGUUGUGUUCCUCUUGACCAGAGACACAUGUUAAAAAUAUGAAAUUUCAUGUUUGAGGUACUUUUGUAUGCAGUUUUAUUUAAAAUAAUUUAAAUUGAAUAUGUGCCUCAUAUCUUGUUUAAUACAUAAAUAAUUCUAGGAAUACCAGAAAAAUGUAAAUCCAAUUUUGUUAGCUUUAUUGUAGUGUGUAAAUGCUUUGAAAAAUAUAUUCCUUUGUGCAAUUUAUUGUUGACAAUAUAAAUGUGAGGAACCCAUAUGUUUGAGCAUAGUUCGGUGGAAUGACUCUUAUAUGUUUGUGAAGCAUGUAUGUUAUGCCUAUCUCCAAAUGUCUUGAAAUUUUUUUGGCAAGCUUCUACACUCAAAUGAUAACCCCACACAAGAUCUUAGGAUUUUCUGGUCAUGCAAGCUAUUAUUACAUUUUUCUUUGGGCUAAAUGAGAUGAAAAAUGGUGGACUACACCUAGAUCCCACUAGGUUUUUCCACCAACCACAAGGAAGUUUUAUUUCCUAUGGUAUAUAAGACCCUGUGGAGAAGUUUGGCACCAUUUGGAGUCAUUUCAGGGGUAGACUUAGUUCAAGCGCUAAUUAGUGGGUGACGUCGCACGAAAAUUCAAUUAAACCGGAUAAAGUAACAAACCACAUCAGAAAAAUCCCAAACUUGGUGGAUUGAACAUCAAUGGCACUAGUAACCCUUAGUAAAAGUUUGAGACCAGUACGAUAUCAAUGGCACUAGUAACCCUUACAUGUAGAAAUAGAAAAGGGCACAUAGCAUAAGGUACACAUUUUAUCAUAAAUAGAUUACAUGGCAAAUGACAAAGAAAAUCUAGGCAGCUAUUGUUCUUCCUUGUCCAUCGUGACGCACCCAGGGCAACGAGCUCCGUGGAAUGCUUCGCUCAACAUUCCUUAUCUUUACUGGAUGGUCGUCUACAAAGAGAGACAGGUCACUGAACUGGUUAAAUUCAUCCAAGUCACAUACACCAUCAACUCCGAUGGCUUGUUGCUUUCCAGGGAAAACUAUGUGCUUUGGAUGGUCCGUAAUUUUCUUCUUAUCAUUAGGAGAGAGGACCUGCUCAGCAUAGAAGACCUGUGCAGCAUGGUUACCCAUUAUCCAUGGAUCAUCUUUGUAGCCUACCUUGCUUAGAUCUAGAACUCUAAUCCCAUAGUUGUCCACUGUAACAUGUUUGUCUUCAACCCAUUGACACCGAAAUACAGGGAUCUAAAAUGUACCAUAGUCUAGUUCUCAUAUGUCCUCAACGAAGCCAAAGUAAGUUGUUUCCUCACCAGUUUCCGAGUCUAAGGCGUCGCAUCGAACACCACUAUUUUGUGCCAUGCUCUUUUGGUCUUUGGACUUGGUACAGAACUUGAAGCCACUAAUGUCAUAGGUUUGCCAAGUCGUGACCUGGCGUGAUGGCCCAGAUGCCAAGACCUUGAUGGUGCGAUCCUCGAGUGUUUCCCCAUCUGGAAUGUCCUGCUCCCUUAGCCAUGAGGUGAACUGAUUCUUAUGUUCCUUCAUUAUCCAUUCAUCUGUGUGCCCAUGAUUAUGUUUUUGAAGCUCUUCAAUGUGUAGAUUGAUCAAAGGCUCUAUUAUCGAGAGCUGAUGUUGGACGCUGUGAUGUGCUUCGAGGACUGAAUUGUAAUCUUUUGGGACGUAUGAUUUCUUUCCCAUCCUACCUCUUCCAUUCAGCCUACCCUCGUGUCGUGACGGAGGCAAACCUAUUGCAACCUGGUCUUUUAGGACCCUAUUGCAGAAUGGACCUCCGGACUCAAUGGCCUCUUCGGUUAAGUACCCCUCUACCAUAGAUGCCUCUAGACGAGCACGAGUUGAAACAUAGCCAUUUAGUAUUGACAUGAAGCGUUCAUACGUCCACAUCUCAUGCAAAUACAUGGGACCCAAUGCCUCUAUUUGUGAAACCAAGUGCACCACAAGGUGAAACAUCACAUCGAAGAAUGCUGGGGGGGAACACAUCUCAAACUGUGAAACUGUCUCCACUGCGAAUUCCUUAAGAGACGCCAACUCAUCAUGUUCAAUCACCUUCUGUGAGAUCCUGUUGAAGAAGUAGCACAACCGUGUAACUGCAACCUUUAUCCACAUUGGGUUUAUAGCCCUAAUGGCAAUAGGGAGAAAAGUAGUCAAUAUGACAUGACAAUCAUGUGAGUUUUAGUUGGUGAGUGUAAGGUCUUUCAUUGACACAAUACUCCGUAUGCUAGAGCAGAAUCCAGAUGGGACUUUCAAUUUCUUCAACCACACACACAUCUCAUGUUUCUCUUCAUUGUUGAGGUUGUAGCUUGCUGCCGGGAGGUGGUACUUCCCAUUUUCUAGCAUAACAGGGUGAAGUUCUUUUUUUAUGCCUAACUGUACCAUAUUCAAGUGUGAAUUUAAUCCUUCCUUUGUCUUGCCCUUCAUGUCCAACAAGGUGCCAAUUAUGCUUUCAAACACGUUCUUCUGAACGUGCAUACCAUCGAUCGCGUGGCGGACGUCUAACUCUGGCCAGUAUUCCAAAUACUCAAAGAAAAUUGACUUCUUCUUGAAUGUAGCCCCGGCUUGACAUUCUUUCUUGUUUUUCCAUCUUUUGUCUUCUUCCCAAAAACAAAUUUGAGUUUGCUGACUAUGCUGAAAACUCUUUAGCCUUUACUGUUACCUGAUGGAGCAGGAGUCUCUAGUUUACUAUUAUUGUCAAAGUACUUAUCCAUCUUUUUCAGCCGGUACCUGUGUCCUUUUGAUAAGAAGCGUCUGUGCCUCAUGUACACUAUCUUCUUAGAUGCAGUUAGGGACACGUAAGCGGUGUCAUCUAUGCAUACCACACAACCUAACUUUCCCUUGAACUACCCUGAUAAUGUAAAGAGAGCUGGGUAGUCAUUGAUCGUAACAAAGAUAAUUGCUCUCAGUGUGAAUGAUUCUUUACGGUACUCGUCGAAUAUUUGAACACCUGUUUCCCAUAGUAUCUUCAUGUCUUGCAUUAAGGGCUCCAAGAAAACAUCCAUAUCAACUCCAGGUUGUGUAGGUCUAGAGAUAAGGAUGGUUAGUAAAAGGUACUUUCGCUUCUGCAUCAACCAUGGAGGGAGGUUGUAGAUGGUGAGGAUCACUGGCCAUGUGCUGUGCUUGCUGCUCCUCUUAGCAAAUGGAUUCAUUCCGUCAGUACUCAGUGCGAACCUAACAUUCCUUGGUUCAUUAGCAAAGUCCUUGUGGUUUUCAUUGAAAUCUUUCCACUGCUGGCCAUCGGCUGCGUGCCGAAGCUUCCCAUCGUCUUUGUGCUCAUCAGAAGAAUGCCAGGUCAUAAGUUGGGCAUCCUCUGGGUUAGCAAACAAGCACUUCAACCGAUCAAUCACAAGAAGGUACCACAUCACCAAAGUAGGAAUCUUUUUCUGCGCAUAAUAGUCUACUUCUUCCUUUUCUUUGCCGGUGGGUUUUGAACUACUCUUCUGGGUCUUUUGUUGGGCCUUCUUUCGUUUUUUGCCCUUAGGCACAGAGGCAACACACUCUUCCUCUAUGUAGUCUUUAUUUGUCUUGUACCUACUUGCACCACACUUGGGACAGUUGUCCAAGUCUCUAUAAUCAUCGCCUCGAUAUAGGAUACAAUGAUUUCUACAAGCGUGGAUCUUCUCAACACCCAUUGUGAGUGGGCUGAUUAGCUUCUUUGCAUAAUAUGUGUUAGCAGGCACUUUGUUAUCCUUAGGAAGCAUGUCUGCGAUAAUGCUUAAGAAUGCAUCAAAGCCAGCAUCAGAAAGACCAUAUCUAGCUUUGCACACCAACAAUUUUAGCACAGACCGCAGCGUCGUGAACUCUUUGGUGCAACCCUUGGACUCAUCAUACAAAGGCUCUUCUGCUGCCUUCAUUAGGGCCUCCAUACCUUUCAUGAAGAACACUGAUGGAUCUUCCGCAUGACGACGCAACAUUGCCUCUAGAAAUUCUGCAUCUUCCGCAGCCAUGCUAGUUUCGGUGCCAUCUUCAUUUCCUCCAAUAAAACCAUGAUGAGGAACAUUUGGCACAACAUGUUCAGUGGCUAGACCAUCGGUAUUAGGUUGUUGUGUCUCGUGUACGAACUCAAACCCGUCAACAAUUCCAGUUGUAUAAGGCGCAGAGCUACCCUCUCCAUGCUUUGUCCAAAUCAAGUAAUCUUUCAUAAAUCCUCGACGGACCAGAUGAGUAAGGAUUUGUUGAAUAUCAUCAGAUACAACAAGAUUUCUACAAUCCAUGCAUUGACAAUGUAUGUGCGUCUUUCUUGUUCUUGAAGCAUAGUUUUGAGCAGCAUCAAUAAACUUCUGGACCUCAGUUAUGUAUGAUGGAUCUAGUCUUGAUAAAUUAUACAUCCAAAAUGACCUCUCCAUCACUACCUGUAAAACAUCAUUCAUAUGAUCUAAGGGUUUACCAAGGAUUUAUCUAGGGUUUAUUAGCUAGGGUUUAUGGUUAAGCUUGAGAUUAAAGGAAAAAACCUAAGUUACAUAAUUAAAAAAUAAUCUAAGUAUAGCAUAACUAUAUAAAUACAUCAUUCAUUAUAAAUUGAUAGAUGAUGUGGAAGGUGAUAAUAAAAAACCUAACUAGCAUAUAAUUAAAAAAAUCCACAAUUAUCUCUCUACAUAAAUAUACAAAGAACACACCAUUGGUUUAAUCUUGUAAAAACUAGCUAAAUUGAGAAGCAAACAUGUUGAGAGGCAUUAUCCAACCAUAUUAAGCAACCCCAUCUAACCAUAUCAACAAAUAAAGACAAGAAGCUAGCUAUUCUUCUCUCUCACUCAUAAAACAUACAUACAUGUUGAUAAAUAAAUUGAAAAUUUUAUAAAGAGAGAGAGACAUAAAUUAGAAAACCUAAGUAUAGCAUAACUAUAUAAAUACAACAUUCAUUAUAAAUAGAUAGAUGAUGUGGAAGGUGACAAUAAAAAACCUAACUAUCAUAUAAUUAAAAAAAAUCAAUAAUAAUCUCUCUACAUAAAUAUACAAGAACACACCAUUUGUUUAAUCUUGUAAAAACUAGCUAAAUUGAGAAGCAAACAUGUUGAGAGACAUUAUCCAACCAUAUUAAACAACCCCAUCUAACCAUAUCAACAAAUCAAGACAAAAAGCUAGCAAGUCUUCUCUCUCACUAAUGGUGAAACCCUAGAUCCAAAAAGUGGCUCAAAUUGAGCUAGAAUGAGCAAAUUGAGGCAAUAGGGACAUAAACUAACCUCUUUUAGCAACCUCCUUCCUAGAAAUGAAGAUCAAAACCUCCCCUCUUGUAUUCUGAGAAAUCUGGAACUCCAAAAUCGCCCCCAAUGGAAGGUGGGUGCAAGAUACUGUGUUCUGGUCGGGGAGGAAGAAGGGGUAUUUAUACAGAGAUAACACAGGCGGUUGCUUAAGUCAACCGCCUGUGAAAAACGUUUCCACAGGCGGCCGAAAAUCUCUGACACCGCCCGAUUUAUACCACAGGCGUGUCGUAACUGGAACUGCCUGUGGUAUAAAAAGGGGGCGCCAGCAAUGACCCUAUUUCUACUAGUGGAAGGACAUCGUCAAGCCAUGUGGCUAAAUAAAAAUGCAAAACAUGGAUGGACAAUGUAGUGAUGUGUGAUCAAAAAAAGAAAUGGGCACAUGGACCAAUAAAAAUACAACACAUGAUCCAAUGAAGAAGUGACCCCUCGUCCAACCACAACACGAUGAGUGUGCCCAUAGAAAACUUACAUGUAGUAUAAUGAGAACCUAACAUGUGGUCUAGUAAGAACCUAAAACAUGCAAGGACAAGAGAUGGUCAUGUUGUGUAAUAAGAAUGUGACACAUACCAAAACAAUCUCCAAUGCAAACGGCUAUAGCAUGUACAUGUGGAAAGCAUCUCCAACAGAAGCAACCACCAGCAUGGCAGGCCCCCUGCCACGCAUGCCAAAAUAGUUCUAUGACAUUCUAUUUUUUCAUAGAUCAAGCCACUUCUAUGAUGAUUUGGUGAAAAUGUCAUAGAAGUUCAUGUGUGAUGUGACUUUUAUGACAAACCAUUUUUCUUCAUAAACUUGAAAUUAUGACUAAUUUGGCUCCUUCAGUGAUGAAUUGCACAUAUCAAAGGCAAAGGGCCUGAUCCUGUAGAUAGACUUUGAAAAAGACUUUGAUCGAGUUAGAUGGGAUUGUUUGGAAAAUGUCAUGGAAGGACCCCAGCAAUGGAUCUCUUAGGUUAUGAAGACUGUUAGAGGAGGGAGAGUAUGUAAUAAUGUAAAUGGAGAAUAGAGAAAUUAUUUUAGAACCUAUAGGGGUUUGAGGCAGGGGAUCCUCUUUCCCCUUUACACUUCAACUUGGUAGCAGAUGCUUUAGGAAUGAUGUUACAAUAAGCUUUUGAAAGAAGCCAUAUAAAGGGGGUACUAACUAAUUUGAUUCCUAGGGGUAUUUCCCACAUCCAGUAUGUAGAUGACACAGACACCAUGGUUAUGCUUCUAUCUCUUCAAUCACAAAUAUCAAGCUCAUCCUAUAAUAUUUUGAGUGGCUAACUAGGUUGAAAAUCAAUUAUCAUAAUAACGAGGUGUAUAUGUUUGGGGCAUCACAAGGAGAGAAAGAAAUGAUGGGUAAUAUACUUAAUUGUGUCUUGGGUACUUUUCCUAUGAAAUACCUUGGGAUUGUGUUAUAAACACUUGAGCAUGGGUUACUUAGAAAAUGGAUAAAAGAUCGGAUGAAAGGAUGAAAAUGCCUAGAGGUGGUGAAUAGGCGUUUCCUAAAAUUCACAAACUUUUGCGGCAGAUUAAAUCAUGAGUAUCAAAAUUUUUGGUCCCAAGCAAAAUUGGUGGACUUGUCUAAAAUUCCAUUGAGGAUGAAAAUUUUGAAUCUCAAAGAGUAGUGAACUAACUAAUUACAAAUUGAAAUGCUCAAAUACUAAAUUGAGUUCACCACGAAAGAAGAGUAGGAGUACUAAGUGGAUCCACAGCUUUUGCUUCAUCCUUCACCUAUACACAGUAUAUAUCUUUCCACCACAACAAAAGAUGCAAUCACAAAACACAAGCACAUAGAGACACAAGUAUUGAUCCUAAGGUUCAAUCACACCACAAAGUUGUGCCUACAUCCUCAUUGUUGAAGCAACCACAAAGGUCCUUAGUGUCUCUUUGAACUCUCCUCUUCCCAAGCAAUCACAAAGAUCAAGCUAGGAUUUCCACUAGAAUGAAAGGGUAAUACAAACUUCUCGGGUGCCCUCACAAGUUGGAGUCAUGGCAUCACCAGGCAACACCUAGCUUGCUAGGGUUCUAAGAACCCAAGAGUAAUAGAGCAAAAAUCAAAUCACCAGCUGGUGCCACAAGUGCUUAAGAGAAGGAUCUUACUCCUAGAGUUGAAAUCCAAGGAGAGCUCACUCCAACCUCACUCACAAAGAUGGGAAUCAAAGCAAGUGUGAGAGAGAGUGUGGGAGUUUGAGAGAGGGCGCAAGAGUCUUUUCCUUAUGUAACACCCUAAAAAUUUUUUCUUUUUCAAAUAGGUGAAAAAGAUUUAAUUUUGUAUUUCUGUUCAUGAAAUAUAGAGAAAUAAUAUUUUUUUUAUUAAAUUAAAAAUUAUCAUAGGAGUUUAGCAAUAUGUUUGAGAAUUCAUGCCUUUGCAUUUGAUUUAUUGAUGGGUGUGUGUUUGACAAAAGUUCAAAAUAUUUCAAACAGAUUUAAAACGGAUUUUGAAAUGAGUUUGAAAAUGGCUCUUAAAUAAAAGAAAAAAAGAAAGAAGAAAACAAUUUCCCCCUCGUUCUGGCCCGAAGGCCGAAACCCCCCCCCCCCCCCCGCGACCCAGCUUUCCCCCGCCCCGGCCAAUUCGCUGCGGCCCAGCACGCCAUUUCCCCCUCCCCCUCGCCUCGGCCCAACGCGGCCCACGAACGCGCACGCGCUGGCCCUCCCGUCCUCACUGUCUCCCUUGGCUGGCAAGCGGACCCCGCAACUUCGGUCACCGACAGGUGGGCCCCGCAAGUCAGGGGUUUUCUCCUACCUUGAGUCGGGGGCGAGCAGGACUCUGUCCCGACCCGAACCCUGAGAUCCGUUUCCAAAUUCUUUCGUGAUUUUGCGUGAUUCGUGGCUUUUGGUUCUAUAAAUGGGUUCGGGAAUCAUGACGCCUUCUUUCCUUCCCGUUUGCGUGGACGCGAGCUCCAUCCUGCCCUAGCCUAGCUCGCAAGUGCCGCCGCCAUCCUGCAGAUCGACGCCGAGCAUGGAUCGGCGCUUCCACCGUGAUAUUGCCUCCGUAAGCUUGAUGUCGGGCUUCGAAACGAAUUUGCGAAGUCCCCGGACCCUUUUUUCCCUCGUUCAUUGCUUUGGUUUGAUCUUAAUUGGGUGCCGAAUCCUCAGCAGGAACUUCUAUCCGCGAAAUCACGUGGCCGGCUAAUCCCGAGCCUUCCCCGGCCUCGUAAACUCCCUCGGUGAGUUCCCUAUGUUCCUCUCUUGCUUCCCGUGCUUUCGGUUCAAUGAAUCGUGCAUUAAAUCGCGUAAUCAUCUAACUCCGGCGAGCUCCUCCUCCCUCCGGCCAUGGCGCCGCUGGGAAACUCGCCGCCGGCCACCGCGGGCUCCCUGGAAGCCUCCUGGGCCGUAGAAUCUUAAAUCGACGCACGAGAUUAGAAGUUACCCUUUCAGGGUAACAUUUGCUAAAGAGUCCCCGAAAAAGUUCAGAUUAGAACCCGCCGUCCCUUGGCGGAUUAAGUGGUUUACGCUUUUCGUUUCGGAAAACGUAUUCUUACCGACUUAAAAGAAAAUACGUUUUCUACUAUUUACGGUUUUGCCACCAGAUUUAAAUCACUUAUAACAUGCUCAUUUUUAAUCCGUUUUUGUCCAGUCAAAUUGCGUUAGAUUCGUCUUUUCGAGAUCUACGUGUUAGUAUCACUGUCUUCUCAGUAUGAAACUUUUUAAUUUCGUGAUACUAUUUAAUUAAUUAUUAUUCUACAGGAAAUCUUAGAAAAUUCAUAUCUUCUACGUUUUAACUCUGAUUUUCGUGAACUUUACGUUUGUGUGAUCGUAGCGCUGCGUAGAAUAUUUUGAUAAACUUUUAUAUUUGUUUUACUACUGUUUGGUGUAUUGUUCUAAUUAUAGUUUGUUUGCUUCGUGUAUGAUUGUCUACAUUGGAUUGCGUGUUGUUGAUUGAUGAUCGGGUAUAGACGGUGAGCGAUACGUUGGUGAUCAAGAUCAAGCUUUUGACGACCAGCAGCAGGCUCAAGAGAGCUUUGAUCAAGGCAAGUAUAACUUGGUAUCAUCCUUGUUACCUAUACACAAUUAAUACAGUAUAUAUCAUAUGCAUGUGUCCACCUUGAUGACCUUAGCAAAAUCAUAGAUGAUUGUUAUCCUGGAUUCCUUGUUACCUAUUUUGGAUAUGCAUUUGGUAGUUCUUGCUAGUGCUUGAUUAUUAAUCCAUGAUCUUGUAACAUGAAUAUUUGAAUAUACAAUAAACAAUAAAAUAAGCUUUCUAGCAACUUGAAUAUAAAGGGUGGAAAGAACUCUGGCUUUUGCUGGAUUGAUCUUGACCCUCCAUAAGGACUUAUCCCUUGGCAAAAGCUGGGACAACUCAUACAACCAUGAGGGCUAUAUAGCUCUGGGUUUAGUCAAGUAUGAGUAAGCUUUUCUAGCUUGUUAGAGGUUACCCGAAAGGGCGGAGGGGCUGAACCGUUUUGGGUAUAGUGUGAGCCCCUGUCCCUAUGUGUAUAGGCUGCGCGUCAUUGUGCCAUUCGGAAGGGGGGUAUCUAUAUCUGCGUGCAAAGGAAACCUUGCGGCCCUAACUUGCUAGACGAACCUUUGAAAGACUUCAUAGUGAACCCUGCCGACCUUCCUUGGUAGUGGGUUAAGAGGUCGACGGGCCUCGGGCGAAAGGGUAAAUCAUGACUCAUGGGUAAAGAUGUACAACCUCUGCAGAGUGUUAAAUCUGGUAUACUAGCCGUGCCCACGGAUACGGGCGGCCCAGAAAACUGACGGAAUAGAUGGUCACUGAUGAAUAUGAUUAAUGAUGAUAAAUGAUGGUUUAUUAUAUUGUUUAUAUGUGUUAUUCUUAAUUCUUGUAUACAUUGAUCAUGUGGUUAUGGGAUUUACUAUGCUACCUUGACAUUUGCUACCCAAUGAUUAAACAUGCUAUCAACAAUUAAAAGCUAAAUGCAGUCAAACCAGUGUCAGCUGUUUGAGCCUCAUGAACCCCUGGUUAUACUUGUUGAGUACGAUAUGUGCUCACUCUUGCAAUUUCCCCCACACCUCAGGAUAAGUUUUGGGCUUGUGAUCAACCAGUCAGUUGGAUCCUGUGGAGAGAAGUUAAUACCCGAAGUUGAAGCUGCCUAUCCGCUGUUUGCUAUUAAAGGUUAUCUCUUUUAUGUUAAGUACGUUAUAUAUCUACGCAUUGUCUUUUGAUAUUACCCCUUAUUUGUAGCUAUAUGUGAGAUUUGGUUUCUAAAACUCACAUAUGGUGUAUAUCUGGUUUUGUCCUUAAAAUCGGGUAUUACACCUUAGGGUUGAAGAGAAUGAAAAUGAGCCAAGUGUUGGUAAAUCUUAGCAGCACCGCUAGAAUAGCGAUGUCACCAGAGAUGCCAGGUGUGUUUUAAUUCUAGACUAGUGGAUAAUUCCGCAAGCGCACAAAAUGUACCGAUGUAGCUCUUCACCCGGGAGUAUUCUAAGGUAUCAUAAUUUAUAUUUUCCCAAGGGAAAGCAAGCUAGGAUGUGUAAUAAGAGAGAGGAGAUAUCCUCGUGUUUACUAUGGCCUAGAGCUAACUAGUGGACUACGGGGUAAACGAUAGAUAGGAUAAAUGAUAAUCAAAGUAAAGCUUAAAUCCUAAUCUAAGGUAACUAGUAGUGAUAGCUAGGUGGGAGGACAACAAGUGAGUAUAGGACUCCUAUGAUGCUAACUUAACUCUGGUGGACUCGAUCCUAAUAGAUAGAUUAGAUACAUAAACUAACCCUUACUACUUGUGUGAGGGUAGGAAACAAAAGAGAAGGAGACAGAACCCCUGCUCAAGCGAGACCAAACUUAUGUACGCCCUGCACUUAGAAACUAGCCUCGACGUGGUGGGAAUCCUAAUGCCGAGCCCGAACUAUCACUUUAGGCCAGUGCACCCACACACCUUCCGUAAAGACUAGUGGCUACCAAUGAUAAGACUAUGUAUGAACACCACGUUCACACUUACUCUUACAACUCUUACUAACGAUCAAAUUAGCUCGAGCUCCUAGAUUAACUUAGGACGCUCAUCUACACACAAGGUCUGGUUCCAGGGACCAAUCCACUAUAACAACUAUGCUACUAAGACUUAGCACACUACAAAACUAUAAAGAGACUUGCACAAAGUAGUACUAAAAGUAAUACUAAGAAAAGUAAAGAAAGACUAAUAUAUUAAAGUAUAGUACUAAAGGAAAGAUACAAGAACAAUAUCAGACUCUCCAGAAGGCGACUCUGGAGACCCUGAGCUUGCUUGACUCAACUCAAACUCCCACUACUAGACUAACAACUACUUGAUCUCUCAAGCUUAUGAGUAUGAAGAUGCAAGAAGAGAGAUUUACAAGUGAGGAUCCAUCAGCUAAUUAUAGAUGGAGGUGGAGUAGGGGCUACUCCAGCGCCACAUCAACGAUCCGUGUGAUGUUGCUUAAUAGCCCUUGGAUGCAACCGACCUUGGAACCGCCUCAAAUCCAAUGGCUAGCAUCAUUUUAGCAUGUGUGAAAUGUGGAGAAGUCGGUGGGAGCAAACUGACCUCGACUGGCCACCAGGGGGGAUCGGUCGAUCCUCCUAUGGUAGGUGGGGCCAGCCUAGGUCGGUUGGCUGGUGUCCCCAUUUGUCAUAGAGUCUGGUUCUCCAUCUUGUUGUACUUUGUCAUGCCGAUUCUUCUGACAUGUGGACCCAUGAAUCUGUGUGCUCCUAAUUUCAGCCGUUGAGAGAAAGCACACUCUGAUCUGAAGGCUGAGAAUUGCUUCUAGGAGGUUGCCUUGGAUCAUGCCUACAUGGCAUGUUGAGGAGGUGGCACAGGGGGAUCAGUCGAUCCCCCAUGUGGGCCCAUCUUGGUUGCUUUUUGUGCCAUUUCAUGCUACCUACAAAUCACAAGCUAAGAGUACAAGUGGAACUAUUUAUUGAUAAAAUGUGUUCAUGAAUGUUUAAUCUUCCUUGAAACCAAGGCUUGUUGACGGUGUUUUGGAUGUGCAUUUUGAUGCUAUAAUUACCAUCAACAAGAUCCCACAAUCUUAACCUUUGCUUGUCUCAAGCAAAUAAUUAGGACUUGGCCUCGGUGGAUCAGGUAAAGUUACUAUGCUAACAUUUCAAGAGUGCUAGGUGCACAACAAAGUUCUUCUCCUUGAAUGAAAAAUUUAGCUAAGUAUAACUCACCCAUAUUACCCUAGUACUCUAUGGGGCUUAUGGCAUUUUCCUUUGUCUUGAGUGGUUGAAGGAUAGAACAGUUAGACCAGAGCACUAUUUUUCUUGAUCUUUAGCAAGUUUCAUACCGGAGGUUUUGUGACAUUUUCAAAAGAAUUCUAAAGUGUUCCUCAAAUGGUUCUCUCAAGUCGCUCAAUGGUCUAUGAUUCCUUACCAAGGCAUAUAAUAAGUUGCCUUCAAAGUUUCAUCAGGCUUAUGUGGAGCUUAAGGUAUGGAUGAAAGAGAUGGCAUACUUACUUUGCAUAAGUUGCGCAGUCAAAACUCGGAUCCUUGUAGAGAAGUGUCAUACUCCCAGAUCAAGAUGUGCAAGUGUAAGGAAUGGAGUGGAUGGUGGUAUAUGUGGAAUGGAUGGUGGAUAGGUUGCUCCUCUAAUUGAUGACUUCUCUUUUUCUACUGAGGCAAGGCUAGAGUCUAAUUGCUUUCUUUCUUUCCCCUCUCUCUUUUUUGAGAGAGAGAGAGAGGGUAUCUCUGAUAACUUGAAAGGAACUAAUACUUAUUCAUGCUAGCCUUUAACUAUGCCUCAUAUACCAAGUGUUAAUCUUAGAGAGAAUGAAAUGUUUGACUUUUAAAGCAUGGAGCAACCCAUAUGGUGGAGAUGUUAUGAAUGCACACUUCCAAAUUAGAAGUGGCAGAGGGAUAUGUAUGAAAGGAGUUGCAUACUCCCAGAGUGGAAGCAACAUGGUGGUGUGGUGUAUGGGUAAAUGUGUACUUCCAAGAUCGAGGUAGCAAUGAGUUUGUGGCUGGUUGAUUACUGAUCUUAGGAGCAUGAUAAAUCUCUAAACAAGGGUCACAAGCCUUGAUCACACUCAACACAAAGCAAAUAGCAUAUGUAGAAGGUUUGCAACAUUGUAAAGUAUAUUUGGCUCUGGUAGAAAUUUUAUAACCACUGAGGAACAAAUUAGUUUUUUGGUCAUUUUUAGAAAAUAAAUCUCCGGUACUCAACUGGCUUAGAACAAUAUUAUAGCUGAUCCUAUCAUACUAUCUCGUAUCCCUCAAGGAUUUAGACGUAGUUAUUAGAACUCGCAACCCACAAAGUUUCAGGUUCAUGAUGGUCUAGUGAAGCUAAGUAAUUCAUACUUGGAGAAGCACUAAGUUGUAAACUAGGCACUAGAGAAACAUUAACAAAGCAACUACUCAUCAUUUCCCAAAGAAAGAUAACCAUUCACGAACAUGAACUAAGGGAAAUAAGUAAGCUAAAUAUUUUUAGUCUUUUUAAAUAUAAGAUGCAGAAAAUAAAAGAGUGGAUAGCGAGAUACUCAUCUGAGUGGAGAGAGGAUCUCCCCUGUAACACUCCUAGUGUUAGCUUGCAUGUUAACCAUGAGCAUUGCAUCCACAUGAGCAUCAUACCAUGAUCACAUGUCACUUUGUGUAUAUCUCAUGUGAAUUGAUUGCUUAUUUACUUGUAUGUGUGUGAGUAGUGUAGGACCAAUGUAUUUAAGUACACAUGGUUCUCCAAAAUACUUUAUUCAUGUUUAGAAUAUCAUUUGGAACCAAGUUUAUGUUGGAGGUGUCCUCAAAAAAUGCCCCUAAGUCAUGGUUAACCCUAGGUUGACCUAGUUGACCUCCUAAACCUCUUUUCAAAGACCUUUUAUGAAACCAGUGUUAGAGACCUUCCAUGUAAAUGACCUCUAAAGCAAAGUUGUAGUAAAUUUUAUAAGCUACAAAAGUUGUUUUGGUACCUUUCCAUGAAAAUUGUUGGAACAUAACCAAAAGUGGCCCACAAGACAGAAAUCAGUGCUGUUUUCAAUACUUAGGCGAAUUUGGUUAAGUCUGGGUUUUCAUAUUCGAGGUAGGGUGCUUGGGAGCCUUGUAGUUUGGAUUCUAGACCAAACUAGACUUUGAUCCUUUAAGCAAACUUGUAGAACUCGUGUAGCUCUAUCCAUUGGGACAAAUCCGAGCAAAAACCACCGAGUGAAUGGUGAGUAAAACGUCGACGAAAAUCAGGUUUCAGUCAUUGCACUCGUGAGCUUCACACAUUGAUUCAGUUGGGCAGAGCUUCACCCGCCGCCGCGUGUCCGGCCACCUAUCGGCCGUACAUCGACGGCAACCCCGCCAGUCAGCACCAACACGUCCACUUGAGCGCCACACACCUCCUAGACGCCUCAAACGCGCCACUCACCCAUCCAUAGCUCCACAUUUCGCCCGCCGUCGUCCUCGACGAGCUCCGCCGCACUUCGGCGAGCUCUCCCGGCCGCGCCACCGCGUCCCGAGCCGAGCUGCUUCGCCCAGAGCUCCGUCGUGACAUCCUCUACUCAUUGUCCAUCUCUUUUCCCCAGCUGAGCACUGGUUAGGCCACAUUGUCAACUCCAUCGCGAGCUCCACCUCACCUUGUGAUCCUUGGAAAGUGGAUCUAAGCUGAACCAUAAUUUAUUGGUCAUAAGGGAGAAUUGCUGGUUGAGGUCACGGGUGAGACAGAGGAGCAUCCCACACCAGAAUUUCUGGCUAAGUGAGGAGAAUUGUCAGUUGAGGGUUCUCUGUGAGAGGCGUCCUCCACACCAGAAUUUCUGGUUAAGGAAUGAGAAUUGUCGGUUGAGGGUUCUAUGUGGGAAGGAAAUAUGUUGUGAUGUCUAGGAAAUAUAUACUUGAUCAAUCGAGCACUUAGGACACCUGCAAGUAAUAUAAUUUUGAUCCCUCUUUAUAGUAUGGCAUCCUAUAACUCCUUUGAAGUUCAAAUGAAAUGAAAAUUAAAACUGAACUCCCCUCUAGUUGAAGUGUGACGCUACAUAUUUCUUUGAAGUAAUAAUUGAGGGGUCUCAUGUUUCAAUUGCACUUUUUCACAUUGGUAUUUAAGUGAAAAACUCAUGAAACAACACAAGCUCUUAUAUGCAUUAUCAUUAAUUUACCAAAACCCACAAAAUAGGAUUUGUUGCACUUACACUAGAUCCCUAGAAAGGGAGGUUUCUAACAUCUAGGUGCAGACAAAUACUGACCACUUCCUAUCUUAGCAGCAUUCCUUUGUAUUAUAUGGGUUUUUACUUGCUCAAGGAUGGGGAUCAUAAGUCUAUGGAUAGUAUAAGGGCUAAGUUCCUUUGACAAGGAGCUAAAGGUAAAUUUAGAUACCAUAUGGCCAAGUAGGAAAUGGUAACUAGGCCCAAAGACCAAAAGGGCUUAGGGAUUAUCAAUACAACCAUUAUGAAUGAGUGUUUACUAGUCAAAUCGAUGAUGAUAUUUGGUUUAAAAUCCUUAAGGCCAAAUACAUGAGUGAGAAUGGUUUCUUUGCUUCAAAAGUGAUUAAAACCAAACACUUGUUCAGGUGGGGAUCUAUGUUGAAGGUAGGGACUGGCAAACAUUAUAAAUUUUGGGAUGACUUUUGGAUGCAUAAUGUGCCAGUAAAGCUUUUAUAUGAUGAUCUAUACAAGAUGGCUAGGGAGCCUUCUUGUUUUGUAGCGGACUAUUGGGAGGAUGGAACAUGGGUGGUGGACUUUGUGAGAUGCUUCUAUAUUCAAGAAUAUGGGUGGUUAGGACUUCUUGAAAACUUGAAUGAUAUGCCCUUACAGACGUUGUGAUGUGGGCGAGAUAAUAAACGACAUUUCUCCACUAAAUCUCUUUACAGAUUUAUUAUUGACUAGGGGUCUCUAGUAGAGUUGCUGGUUGUAUCAGGAAAAGCAAGGUGCCACUAAAAAUAAAGUUUUUCCUUUGGCAAGUAUUCAACAAUAAGGUGCAAGUAGGUGUUAACUUGAUAAAGAAGGGUUGGAAAGGGAAGAAAACUUGUGUAUGUGGAGGUCUAGAAUCCAUUGAGCAUAUGUCUUUUCAUUGUAACAUGGAGAAUUUUGUUUGGGGCAUCAUCAAGGAACUAUUCCAAUUAAGUUGUGUUCCUUCUUCCUUGAGUGAUCUUUCCAUGAUUGAUAACCCGAAUAUUUGCUACCGUUUUAUGGCUCUUAAUAAAAACUAAGGUAAACUCUUUUUUUUUUUAAAAAAGGUACUGUGUUACACCCAUUUCUUUUUUUUAACAGCGUUACACCCAUUUCUAUACUUACAUGAAACCAGAUGAUUUUUUUAAAUUUUUGAGGAGAAUGAAACCAAAUGGCUGCUUUUUUUAGGGGGAAAGCCAAAUAGCUACUGGACUUGUCGAGUGUGGCAAAUGUCUUGGCACGCUGGGCUUUUGGAAGGCCAUCAAUUGUUGCACUGGCUCUGGCACCCCGCGCCCACCAAACAACAGGGUGGAUUGUGAGAGAGGGACAGGCAGGCGGCGAGCAAGGAAUUUGAGCUGGGCACGCGGCGCGAAGGCCGAGGGCUCGUGCCCAACGGCCUUCUCACUCAGCCCAUCUCGUGCCCACCUCCCCUCCCUUUUCUGACCCACGACCCCCACCCCUCUUCAUCCCUCGACUACAAAUGCGGCGCAACCGUGGGCGCAGCAGCAGCCGGCGAGUGUGUAGCAGGAUGCUCUCGCUCUCGCCAUCGCAUCGCGCACAGUAGACACUCAAAUCCGAUUGCCGAGGGGGAGAAGGCGGAGACCCGUUGCAACGGCUAGUUGCGGCGGCCCGAUGGACCCGUCGUCCCAUGGCGGCGGCGCCGCCGAUGGAAGUGCCGACGGCCAUAGCCAAAUGUGGGUGAGGGGGGCCCGACUCGUGUGCGUUGAUCCGCGUCUUUGGGGGACUGGUCUCCGCUCGCGUUUUUGUUUGAGGGGGAGGAGGUUUUGGUUUGGGACCGAUGCGCCGCCGUCGUCUGAUGAUGCGAGACCUCGCGCGGUCGUGCCGGCAAGCUGAGAUCCGCGCCACCGACGGGGGAUUCCGGCGGCUGUUGGAUCGCGUCGGCGAUCUAACAGUAGAGAAAUCCUACCGAAGCAGCGAUCUGGUGUACCGGUUUUGGCGGAUUGGGAUGAUCCAUCCGCCGGUCCUUGGUCCUGGGUUCUCGUCCCAUGAAUCCAAAUCGGAUUGGGAUUCGAUCUGCUGGUUGGGAUGUCUUUUACGAUGAUGCGCGCUAUGGGCUGCCGAUUUGUUUGUAUCCAAAUCGGAGAUUAGGCUGACGCGGCCGCUAAAGCUUGGAUGGGGAGGAUAUUGGACUGGCUGGGGCUGGAAUUGGCGUGCGUAUGCUGUUCGUUGUAGUGCCUCACUGCUGGUGAUAAAGUUUCUGUGUUGCUAGCCCUUAAUUCUUUGUUUCACUGGAUAAUUGACCUUACAUACCAAACUAAAAUUAAAAUCUUAUUAAAAUCUGUCUACUGCCUACAAGAGUAGCUUCAUGACCUGUCUUAGGUUUACAUGAUUCAACUUGUACCCUGGCUCAAUUGAGCCAAAGCUUGGAUGGGGGAGGAUAUGGGUUCACAGGGGCUGGAAUGGGGCGUGUGUAUGCUGUUCAUUCUAAUGCCUGAUUGGCAGGAAUUAAUUUAGUCUAUAGCUUGUAUGUGCUUCAGGGCCUUUGAUUGUUAGUACAUAACGAAGUACAAUCAGAUGAAAAUCUGGGUACAGCCUACAAAAGUAGCUCAUGAAUCAUGGCUUGUCUUCAGUGGGUGUGAUUGAACUUAUACCCUGCCUCAACUCUUUCCUGAACUGAAUGCUUGUAAAUUGACUUGCUAUUCUGGUGCACUAUUUUUUUUUUUGGCAAUUUAUUAUACUUAUAAUGCUUGUAACGCUUUCCUGAACUCUUGUAAUGCUUUCCGCAGUCUGUGGGAUUGGACAGCAGAGCAUUGUGAACCUAAUGGUUCAAGUCAUGGUACUUUCAUUCACAUCCAUAAUCUCCAUCUAUAUCACAAUCAAUCUUUAAAGUACCUGUUUGGACUUGCUUUCUCAUUAUGUCCCUUUUUUUUUACAGCAGAUGCUACCAAAUUCGUGUGGGAUUGCCUCAAUCAAGAUGAUGAUGAGCUGUUGGGAUUGCUUGGAAAUCAAACCCCAUUGAGAGACUGCCGCAAUUUCUUUGCUGACCUUGGUGGUACAAAGCUUUUUGUUCGGCCAAUUAUCAUUCAUUCCACUCUUGAAUGCAUAGCUUAAAGCGUCUGUUACUUUUGUAGAUAUCACAUGCAAGGAGACCUUGGACCUGGAGGAAUCUCGGGAAUCAAAGCGGCGACGCACAUUGGAGUACCCUUCAGAGUCUAGUCAGUCAGAAGUUGGGACUCAUGGUACUGGUUCACCUUUCGUUACACCUGAGGUUGUUCAACAGCUCCCAGCUAUGUUUCAAAUCUAAUCUUUGCAAUUUGCAUAUCAUAGUUAUGCAUGUUCUGUUUUUCCAUGUUUCAGGUAGCAGAAAUUUCAUUGCUCUGCGCUGAUAAACCACAGAGCUUAAAUUGUGAUAUGCACAACACUUCAAAUAAUUUAGGUUUGUAUUUUUCAUUAUAUAUGCUUAAACAGUGCCCCUACUUUUUGUUAAUUGAAAAAUUUACAUCAGAUACAAUAAAUUCCUUGUCAGAUGAAGCACCCUACCACCAAGAAGAUAAUCUUUUGGAACAUUGCUCUUAUGAAACUCCUGUGUACCUCGAGCCUGAUCAAACGUCUGUCCCUCUCUGGUUCCACUGAAACCACUUUAUUUGGCUCAUUCAUAUGUUAGCUGUGGUAUAUUCAUCUCCUACUUGCUGUAGGCCUUGUAGCCAGGAGAGCAUUGCAUGUAUAAAUGAUCAAGCUGGUAUUUCAGGUCAGUGCAAAUCACUUUUUCUAUACCAUUUGAUAGUCAAUUUUUCAUUUAAUUUUGCAACUCAGCUUCCAACAUUUCCAUUAAUAUUUGUUCUUAAGCUCACUAGAUAUCUGAGAGGAGCAUUUUAGUUUCCUAUUUUUCUUCAGUUGUGGUCUAUUUGCAGUUGCCACAAUGUACUAUUAUAACCAGCAACCAUAAUGUUUGAGUGCCUUCCUAGCACCAGGGUUUUGUAUUGGGUCAACAACUUACCUAUUAUUUCUAUAUGCCUACAGGAACAACUGAGAUUGCACCAAUGACAGAAAGUUUCAUAAUGCAGGAAACUAGGAAGCUUUCUACACUCAAGGUCUCCAAAGGUAUUUCAUGUUGACAGUAUAUUAUUACUUGGAACACACUUGAACUUCCAGUUUCAUCAGUGCUAAUCAUGUGGCCUCUUUUGCCUUACUACUAGGACCAAGCUCAUCACUAGUUAGGGUGAAGGAAAACUUAACUAUCUCAGUAGCAUAUCCUUUUACUCUCAUCAAACCAUCUUGGGAGGAAGGUGAUGUUACCUUACAGGAUAUAAAUCAGCGAAUCCGUGCUCCUCCUAAGAAGGCCCCGGAGAUCCUUGGAACUUCAGCGUUCUCUGGCAAGCCAGUGAUUGGCAAGACAAGAAUCAGAACAGAAGGGGGGAAAGGAAGCAUCACAAUACUAAGAACAAAGGGCUGAGAACCGGAAAAUACCUUUGAUCCUUAUUUAUCUGCCAGUCUCUCCAUUUAUCAGAAGAGAAAGGGGAGAAGGCAGCUCCCUGGUGGUCAAUUGUGCAGGCACAUGAGGCUGCCAUUGAUUCACAGUUCAAGGAACAGAAGGCAUAGAACCUGAUUAUGCCAUGGAUUCUUAUUUAUCUCCCAUUCUCUUGAUUGCUGUUGGCCCUUUGGUCCAUGUGCAGGCCUCUGUAGCUUUCCAGCUGUUACUUUUUUCUUUCAGUUUUGUACCGUGGCUUUGUCUUGUGAAUUACUGUACAUGCAAAAGCAAAACUCCUUCAGAUGUUCAGCAUUCUUAUGGUGUAUUUAUAACAUGUGGUCGAUGAUAUAUACAAAAAUCUGAAGUUAAAGGAAUGAGUGUGUUAAAUUCCAUUUAUUACUUCUUGAGAGGCUGUUCAAUCCUUCCGUGUCCAUAAUGAGAAGUUUUCUUAUAUGACACUAGCAAACUCACUAAUUCCUUCUAUGAACCUUAAAAUUUCAAAGUUAACUAUUUGAUGCUAGCUUUGAAUUCCAUGCCUUAGAGCAACUCCAAGAGGCUCUCUAAAUCUUUUGUAAAUGCUAGUAAUAGAGAUUUUAGUGAAAAACUACUCUCCAACAGCUUGUCUAAAUGGUUAUACAAAUAUAGCCAUCUUCUAUUCUGGAUUAUUCGUUAGCCAAAAAUAGAAAAUGAGAAUAGCUCUCUAGAGUGCGCACGAGAGAUAGAAAAGCUGUAGGAGAGUGAAGAAAUAUAGAAAACGAUUUUUAUGGAAAUGGUUCUCAAAAUGAUGAUUUAGAGAGGGAGAUUUGCAAAGACUUUUGGAGAUGGUCUUAGCUAACACUUCUGCUACUUCUGCCUAUAGAUGUCCAAAUGGGCUAAAACUAAAAGGAGGCACGAGGCACGACCUACUAAGGCUUGGCCUGAGCACGGUCGGUAGUUGUCCGUAAAUCCUAUGGAUGAAGGCACCAUUAAAGAACAUUGAAAUCAAUUUCAAACAAUUGUCAUUGCUAUUUGACAAUGAAAGUGCCAUAGAGCUCACCAACAAAUUAGUUCAACACUCAAGAAUAAAGCAUAAAGAUGUCCGCCAUCAUUUCAUAAGAGAUCAUCAAUAAAAAGAAGACAUUUGCAUUGAGAGUAUAAGCACUGAUGAUCAACUUGCUGAUAUAUUCACAAAGUCACUUGAUGAGAAGAGGUUUUGCAAGCUAAGGAAUGAAUUGAACAUACUUGACUACUGAAAUAUGUGUUGAUGCACCCCAAUUAUAUGACAUGCCUCUCCUUCGAGCAAAAGGUACAAUUGUUUGACAUGUCACUCAUUCUUUGCUAAGGACUUGUUUAGUGCAUCUAGUCAUUCCUAACAUAUCUUAGGCUCAUUCAUAAAAAUCAAAUGAAUUUGAUGCUUGUAUGGUACCACUAUUGCUUCCAUGCUUGAAAUGAUCUAGUAGUAGCAUAUGACAUGUUUGUGGGCUUGCAAUCGUAGUGUUUGUUUCAUCUGGAAUAUGAGCUAUAAGUGUUUAAUUCAACAUGGUACAAGAUAACCCUUAUUUGAUGUGUGAAAAAGCUUGUCCUUGGAUCAAACUAAGAUAAAUAUCUUAGACAAGUAAUCUAGAUUGAACUAAUUUGGGAAAAUAGUCUCACUUCACAUGGUUUCACACUAACUUAUCUAAAAUUUGAGCUCACAUUUUAUGAUCAUUGAUGACAAAGGCGGAGAGAAUUUCCCAAAGAUUUGCACAAGGGGGAGAAGUACAAAGAUAGGGAGUAACAUGAUAAAGGAAGGGGAUCAAUUAAAAUUUUGAAGCACACAAGUAGGGGGAGCAAGCUCAUAAACAUGUUUGUUGCAUUUGAAUGUGCAUUUCAUAUGAUUGUUUGUAUUUGCAUUAUCUUUAGAAGCUUUCUCUCUGAUACCUUGCUUGUAUGGUAUAUGCUAGUUACAGGUUUGAUUGUUGAAAUAAAGAACUAGCAUGUAUAGGAAGUGUAACUAGACUUUUAUGUUUUCACAUGUGGUACUAGAGCCUUGUUUAUAAUGUUGAUCUCAUGAGGUGUUCUAGUUUUGUGAAUGUCUAGUUAUUAAUGGUGCUAAGGAUGAUUUACAUUGGCAACCGAUUGGUAUCACGCUUCAAAGGUCCAUUCUUUACACCUUAGCAUCAUUUGGUAGAAACUGACUCCUAUAUUUCCUAUUCAAGCAUAUGUGCAAGAUUUCAAAUCCAAACUCUUAGCACAUAUGUAGGGGGAGCAAUUGCUACCAAAUUGGAUUUAUGAAACUUGUCCAUAGCCUUUGCACAUGGUAAAAUGCUUGGGCCAGCAUCAUGAAUGCAAGAAAAUUUUAUUGAAAAUCUUUGUAAAUGGGUUGUUAUCAAUUACCAAAAAGAGAGAGAUUGAAAGCCUAGUUUUAUUUUUGGAUAAUUGAUAAAACUCAACUACUAACCUUCAUGCUAAGUAUGUGUAGAUUAGAUGAGGUUGGUCAUGCCAAGUGAUGGAGCAAGAGAUGAUCAUGGUGAUGAUGGUGAUGACCACAAGAUGAUCAAGUGCUCAACUAGAAAAGAAGAAAGAGAAAAACAAAACCCUUUGAAGCUCAAGGCAAAUGUAUUGCUUAGGGUUUUAGUUUUUGUGAUCAAGACGCCAUAGAGGGUGUGAUCACAUUUAGGAUAGCAUACUAUAAAGAGGGGAAUUCUUCGUCUAAGCGGUUAUCAAGUGCCACUAGGUGUCAUUAUUCAUGUGUAUGCAUUUAGAACCUAGUGUGCGAACUUAACCCUUGAAAAUGUUUGUGAGAAUAUGCUAAUACACGUGCACAAGGUGAAACACUUGGUGGUUAGUGUUGGCAAUUCUUAACGCAAGCACCAGAGGUGGACACAAAGUCUAGUCCCUAGCAACGGUGCUAGAAAUGCUUAAUGACACUUCUUAGUAAUACUAAGAGAGGACAGAGGUUAACUACUAUCCUUGAAGCGUUGGGUCGGUAGUUCUUAGCUACACAUAAGGUGAGGCUAGAGUUGGCUAGUCCACUAAUUCCUAGCGGGGUUGUCAAACUCGACACUAGUAGGGCCAACACACAUGAUUGCAAUCUACCUAGAUGAAUGGGAUCUGCAAGCGCACAGAACUAUCGUGUGUAGCACUUCGCCUGGUGAGUAACCAGGUGUUCAUUUAUAAUUUCCCAAACGAAGGCUGGGGUGAUGUGGUCGAGUUGGGCCAGAAUGGAUGAUCAGAGUUAGGAAUGGUAAAUGGAUGGGUAAAGGAUAACCAAACUAAUCUACCAACUAACCUAGAUAAAUAAGAGUGGUAGUAGAUUUAGGGGACCUAGUAAAAGGAUAGAACUAGUUAUUAAAGUCAAGCAAAGAGGCGUACCCAUCCUGAACUCACCGUAUGGUUGAUUAAGCAUGAAGCACAACGAGCCUUACGUUUUAAGAACUAGACCGAAUGUGGGAUAAUACGUAGGCAAUCAGGGCUGUCACCACCUAGUGCUACUCCAACUAUCCAUGGGUCUAGCCGUAUCUGAAUGUAAGCCUAUAGUCUAAGCACCACGCUUAAUCUAUACUCCUACUUGUUGAUGCAAAACAGAUCUGCAAACACAAAGAGCUAAUACCCGAUUCAAAUGUUGAGGCGUGCCAGCCGAUUUGACCUAACAAUCGACAAAGGUGAUAACUUGAAUACUUUGGUCCUGACAACAAUGAUGCGCCCGGAUGCCACGGCCAAGAGGUAUUCACGCAGAACUCGAGUAUUCGUCGAGUUUUGCUCGAUGAAUCCUUAAGAACUCGUAAACAAAAGAAAAUAUGCGAGUUAACGAAGUCGUCGAAAAAGUAGAUGUAAAAGUAGAUAUAAAACUUGUGUAUGAUAUUGAUUGAUUGUUUUUUUGCAUUGCUACCAGGCCUAUAUUUAUACUCUGUCCUAGAGAGUUACAACCGUAUACGACUAGGAUUUAAUUCAAAACCAAACAUAACUCUUACAUAAGGUAACCUCUAACAAAUAUGGAAAAUAACCACCUAUCUAUUCUGGCGAUAGGCAUAUCACCGUUGCUUUCCUAGCAACUCCCACGUCUCCCUUCAUCAUCAUCGGCAUACUCCCCAUAUCCUUACCAACUCCCAUAUCUUUCUUCAUCGGCAUCGGCAUCGGCAAUCAUCAACAUCGGCAAUUAAUCAACAAUGAUUAGCAGCUACCAUCAAGCUUGGCAACAUUUUCCACCCAUCAUCCGGCCAUCGGCAUCAUCAGCCAUCAGUAAUCUUUUUAUCGGCUAGACACAGCACCUCCUUGACUGCCGAUCAAGUUUCACUGACCAUCUUGACUCGUGCCCAAAAACGGUGUGAACACAUGCCCCCCAGUUUCGGAGUAUGAAAUCAUUAAUGCUCUAAAAUUCUCUCCUGAUAAUGACGACCUUUUCAUAAUUAUGGUAACAAUUAAUUACCAAAUCCAAACAACCUUAACUCUGACUUCCAUAUCUCAGUGAAUAUCUCACAUCCCUUAACCACCUGAACCGAAUCUCAUAGAAACACGCUCAUCGGCAACUUGUUCUGUUAGGGUUGACUACGGAUGGACCGACCAAAAGAUCGUGUAUAGUGGAAUAUCUCCUAAAAUCAUGAUUACUUACUGUCAAAUCACCUGUACAAUCCCUUGAUUGUCGUGCCAAUAGUUAGCAUAUCCAUCUGAACAACCUCGAAUUCCAUGGAUACGACAAAGAGAUAAGUCAAAAAUACCCCUGCUCAUUUCAACCUAUAAAUACUUUCUUCCCCAGUACUCAUCCUCUACCUCGUCAUUCCCCAUUCUCAAGUUCAUCUCCCCGGCGGCGGCAUUGACGAAGAGCUCAAGAACUUCGGUAGUGAAAAAGCUCUCCUACGGCAAAGCCCUCCUAGAAUCUUCAAAUCUCCAGUUCUUUCUCCUGUUUAGAAGGAAAUGGCCGUCAACUUUGUUGUUCCUGUGGUUAAUCCAUCCCCAUCCUCUCUUUCUUUCACUGCAAUCUUUACUGUUUGCAAAUUUAUUUACUUAGCAUUUUCUCCCCGGUGAUCCAGACCCCACUGAUCUGAUCAACGCAGAAAACAAUUGGAUUCCCUUUAGAGCCGAGAACUUCUCUUUAGAUCUAUGGAAGGACACUUUCUGAUCUUGGCCAAAACCCACUAAAGGAUGGAAAAAUUGGUUCUUGAGAGUCAGUAAAACAAAUGAAACAUACUGGGGGGAACGCAAAUUAGACCAAUGCAUUAGACUCUCCAUGGCUGAUAUGGAGAAGAAUGAGUCGAUGAUGAUAGCAACUUCAUAUUUUUGCUCAGACACCUUGAAUGCUUUCAUCUUUGGUCACAGCCCAGCUUUCCCCACACUUGCCGAUGUUGUCAUGCUUACUGGCUUGGAAGUUGCAACUGCCAAUGAUGGCGGUAUUUUUAACUGCAAAACCAAAUAUAAAGUAGAAACCCGCAACAUCGGUGGCUGGUCAGGAUAUGUCCAAAAAUAUCGGCAAACUGGAUCAGUCGGGCAGAGAGAGCAUGCCAUCUUUCUGAAUAUGUGGUUAGACAAGUUCAUCUUAUAUGGCCGAUCGGUAGGGCCAACCUCUGUCUACUUAUCGGCAGCAGAGCGACUAGCUAAUGGUAACGGAUUCCCCCUUGGCCGAUAUUUGUUGGGUUCUGUCUAUCACCUCCUCCACCAAGUAGCCGAGAAACUCCUGCUCAGUGAACCCAUCGGCAACCUAGGAGGUCCUUGGUGGUUCAUUAACAUGUGGCUCAACGCUCAUAUGCAUAAGCGGCUUCGGUGGGAUUUCUUCACGCAACAGUUCCCACAAGAUAACACCGAUGAUUAUGAGCUAGCAGAGGAUGAAUCGGCAACACGCUCGCCCCUCAAGGCGAAGCCAUCAUAGUUCACCCCGGUACCGAUGCAAACAAGAACUAGAUCGACCGAUUCUUUCAAACACUGUAUGAUGGCCUUUCCAAAGAUCAGCGAGCCUGGAUGCCUUAUGAGGAUGCAAAAUCCAGAUUUCCACUCACCUUUGACCCUGCCGAUGAUACACUUAACAAGGACAAAGAUUUGAUGAUGGCGAUCAUUACCCCAAGAGCAAUCCUAGUAAACAACUUCGGCAGCGGAAAGAACACCAACACAACUUACAAGUUCUACAACCCAUCGGCACUAGCUCGUCAGCUGGGUUUUGGUCAGUUACCCAUUAAACUUUAUUAUGCCGAUGUGGUCAAGACGAGGGAGGUAAUAACCAGUGGACUUGAGUGGAUCAGAAUAGCUCAGCUCCAGCCAGAUGCCGAUGUUGACGGUCCUUAAGUAUCAAAUUUAAUUAUCAAAUAAACAAAGAAAAGGAUCCAAAUGAAACCAACAUCCAGACUUAGGGUUUUAUCUGAUAGAAUUCCAUGAGUUUUGGUGUUUGUCUAUUUCUGCAGGGGGUUAUCAGGAAAUACGGAAGAAAGGCCCACACGUCGGGAUUACAUAGAGAUAUUAAUGUGCCGCGCAAUUAUCUUACAUCUAGAAGACUCCAGAAGUCACGGGAAGGAAGCGGAGGCCGAACGGGACCAGGCACUGGGCGCCCGCCCAGUUGCCCUAGGCGCCCGCCCUCCUGCUGAGUCCAAUCAGGACUCUGUUUCGGGGAAGAUCUCCACCGACCUUAAGGAUCAAGGAUAACCGUUCAAUCAAUGUCGGUUUGAUCCAACGGCCCAUAUUCACUUAAAAGGACUAUAAAAUCAGACCCCCUGGCCCCUGGAGGAUAGAGCCUCUCAACCCUAAUUCAUUAUUCCUCAAGGGAGAAGAAGCCUCUGAUCAAGAUUAGAGCCACCACAUCAAUUAGACAUCUAGAUUAGCAUAGCUACAUAGGAUUAGAACUAGAAGAAGUCAAUCUUCGAUUGGUUUCCGGAUCUGUCAAGAGGAUUCUUGGUAAUUCUCUAAUUAUUCUUCUAAUUGUUCUUCUAAUUAUCUUUGUUCUUCAAUAUUAUGAAUAUGACUUUGUUCUACUUCAAUAUAUUGCUUAUGACUUUGCUCUACUUGCUUAUAUUCAAGAUUAUAUUGUUCUUAGUUUAUCAUGGUUAUGUACUUGGCUUAGUUAGAUUGGAUCUAUAUACAUGCUUAGGAUCGUAUAGCGUUUAUCCAUCGGAUCCAUGGAUAAAUGAUAGAUAUUGUGUAGGCGUGGUGCUUAUACCGUAUUUAUCUGCGAUUGUACCCAAUAUGCCAGAUCAAGGGGUAGUUCGUGAUAGUGACAGCUUCAUUGAUUCUUAUAUAGUCCCCCUCUCGUGUAUUAGGCUGGCAGAGCAAUAUUAUUACAGGGGAGUGAUUGCUAUGUUUCUCAUUUACCUUGCUAAUAUCACUAUGCAUGGGCGUAGUCUUGUCUCACAAUGAUUGCUAAGUAUGCUUGCACUAACUAUGAUAAUGCUAGACUAUAUAGUUGAGAAUAACUUAGGAAAUAUUCUUGUAGUUCGUUCUAAUUCUAUGCUAAUGACUUUCUAGAGUAUCUAAUUGAGGUGCUUAUCAUAUUUAUUAUGUGGCUAAGUUAUGAUCAGACUAAUUAUCUUUGUCACUAUUCAUUACUUCAUAUAUCUUUUAUGUGACACUUACCCCUGUAUGAAAGAGUUAGAUAAAUGUUCUCAAUUAUACAUGCAAUGAUAGAUACUCAAUCUCAUAUUCCAUUCUGUAAUCAAUAUUGAUGAUUGCUAAUCCCUUCCCAGUGGUAAAAAUAUAAAUAACGAUACCUGGAAUACUUCCCGGUUAAAAUGCUACAUCGGUAUUAAUCUAUGCGCUUGCAGAUCCCAUUCAUUAUUUAUUUAGAAGAGCAAUUGCAUAUUUCAAUACCACGUCUCUCAUGUUAUGCUGGGGAUGACAACUUGGCUUAAGUGGUGUGAGGGAUAGGUUUGGCAUUUUUGGCACCGUUACUAGAAUUAGAAAACUCUCUACUUUUGGUAGUGAUGUUAAGAAUACCCAAUAGCCGAUACGACAGAUAUUGAUCUAUCGGCUUGGGUUCCAGCCCUUUUCAUCACCCAAUCAUAUAAACGGUGGUGGGAAGAAUGGAAAGAGCAUCUGUUCAAGGUAUCGCCUCAUAUGUACCACAACAUGAUUGAUCCCGAACAUGAAGUCCCCGAUGACGUUGUAAGUUUCUUUUCCGAUACUCAAUCUUUUUGUUAACUUUAAUUAUAUUGGUAACUUACCCCCUUUUUAUUUCAAUAGGUUACCGAUAACGUUGUAAGUCUCCAGAGAUGCUAUACUAAUUCGCCUCUUCCCAUUCUCACUAUUAGGAAGAACGAAGCAGUGGUUCUACGCUACAAAGGAGAAGAAUACUACGUGGGCACUCUGCUCAACAAACUUCCUAGCUAAGUUCUUUCCCAUGGGCAAGACCAAUGCUCUCCGUGGGAAGAUUACAAGUUUUCAGCAACAAAAUGAUGAAUCCGUUCCAGAAGCAUGGGAGCGCUUCCAAGACUACAUCCUAGAAUGUCCCCAUCAUGGAAUGGAGAGUUGGCUAUUGAUGCAGACGUUUUAUCACGGGCUCGGCAAAAGUGCCCGAGAAACCAUGGAUGCUGCAGCUGGAGGAGCAUUCUUAUCACUCACCAUAUCACAAGCCACAGCUCUUGUGGAGAAGAUGGCGUCCAACCAAAGCUGGAACGAAGAGAGGACCCAGACACGCAAGAAAGGUGGAGGUAUGCAUCAGCUCAAGGAGGUAGACAUGUUGUCUGCAAAGCUAGACCUGCUCAUGAAGAAGCUCAAUGAUAGAGCUGGAGAUAAGAAGGAAGUUAUGCACAUCUACGACUCUCACAUGACUUGUGAGGAGUGUGGAGGUACUGGACACUCAGGCAAUCACUGCCCUAAGAUACUUUAGGAUGUGAACUACAUCAACAAUAACAACAACAACUAGUACAACCGUCCUUAACAAAAUCAAGGUUGGAAUCAACAGAGGCCUAACUACUCAGGUAAUUAUCAAGGUAACAAUUCUUACAAUAAUAAUAAUUUUCCACCUUUGAGAGAGUUAGUGUCUAAUCAAGGAAAGCUAAUGGAUAACCUAUCUAAGAAAUUGGCAUCUAAUGAUAAAAUGCUAGAAAAUAUAAAUAAUAGAAUGGAUAAUUUCUCUACUACCAUCAAUAAUCAAAUUAGCUUUAAUAAAAUGAUUGAAUCUCAGUUAAAUCAAAUAGCUCCUGUUGUUCCUACUACUAACCCCGGUAUACCAUCACAACCGGAAGGAUUAGAAUCUGCAAAUCUUGUAGACAUGUUUGAUGCAGGUAAUAAUUGGAGUAACCCCAUCACUGAAUUCACUACUGACCUUCUGCCGGUCAAGAGAGGUGAUCCAGGACGCCCCGUCAUCCCGAUCUCCAUCGGCAUGGUGGACGUUCCAGAAGCACUCUGCGACUUUGGCUCCAGCGUCAAUAUUAUACCCAGGGUACUAUAUGAAAAAUUCUUUACAUAUCCUUUAUCAGAAACAACCAUGCGUUUGCAGUUUGCAGAUCAGACGAUAAGUUUUCCAAAAGGAAUAUUGAAGAACCUUUGUGUCCGAGUUGGUACCUUGUACGCCCCAGCAGACUUCGUAGUGGUAGAGACCGGUAAUGAUGAGAGGGCACCUAUCAUCCUAGGGAGGCCAUUCUUAAACACCUCGGGAGCUAUCAUCUACGCCAGUGCUGCCAAGAUCAGUUUCUACAUCAAAGGGAGGAAGGAGACGUUUUCCUUCAGGAACAAGACUACACAAAUCCCAGAUCAAUUCAGACGUGAAUCAAGGAAGAUGACCAACAGGAGGAACAGGAACAAGCAAGUGUGGACCGAGUUAGCUAAGAUGGUCAUUGCAGUUCAUGGAGGUCAAGAUCAUCAACUUAAGUCACCAUUUUUGACCAAGAAGGAUGACCCAGGAAUGCCAAGCAUCUAUUGCUCAAUAAAUGGAUACAACUUCUACAAGAUGACUUGCGACACCGGAUCGGGCGUCAACAUAAUGGCCGCAGUCACCUAUCGGCUCUUGUUCGGAACCAUGCCCCUAAAGCCAACAUACAUUCAGCUCCAGAUGGCAGAUUAGACAUUUCGAGAGGUUAAAGGAACAGUAACUGAUGUCCCAGUCAAAAUAGACGAUCAUUUUGUCUACACAGACUUUCAGGUUAUUGACAUGGGAGAAGAGGAGUACGAUCCACCAAUCAUCCUUGGAAGACCGUUCCUCAGCACCGUUAAAGCAAUCCUCUACAUUGGAACCAAAGAAGUCCAUAUGCACUUCCCCUCAGAGAAGGUACACCGCUAUUUUACUGACCCUAACUAGAGGAGGCAGAUCAUCAAGGACGGAUGGGAAGACUACGAAGGAGAAGUUGUAAGGUCAGAAGACGUACAGUUUAAACAGAAUUAUCUAGAGGAGACCGUAGCACCGAGUCAGGUGUGGAAAUAGAAGAUAACUAUACAUGAAGAGGAGGCGCCGCCGGAAGUACCGACUACGCCACCCAACGAAUCCCAGGACAAUUGAGAAAAUGGAGAGUCCUGUUCACAUUGAACGCCUUGCCAAGAGGUAAACUUGGUAGUUAUCAUUUCCUUUUAAUUAUUUGAAAUAGUUUGCUUAGUUAAUCAUGUUUAUACUAUUCUAAAAAGAAAAUAAAAAUGUUAAAAACAGUAAGCCCCAUGUGAGUAUAUGAGUGGCAUAAAACCUAUAAGUACAUUCACUGUGGUGGCAUAAAAAUAAAAUAAAUAUUUUUUUCUGCUUUAUAAAAUGAAAAUAUAAAAAUAGAGAGUAAUAAUUGUUAAGGAGUCUCAACAUGAUAAAGGCUAGAUAUUAUUGCUAACACUUAAUCAGUUCCACAAGCUUUGUUGUCUAUUUGAGCUCCAUAAAGUUUAAGAAUCAAGAAGACUAGCAGACGGAGGACAUUCUAAUCGCUGUCAGAAUGCUGCCGACUUUCAAAUACACCUCUGCCACCUGCUAGCUACAUCAAGAGAAAUUACGUCAAAAUUCAGCUUGGGGGAGAGCACCCCCAUUUAUCCUGAUAAGUAUUUCUAUCUAUCAAUCUUUAUACUUAUAUUAUAUUAAAAUAUAGAUAUACAUAACUAUGGAAAACCCAAUAAAGAUUUUGUGCUUAUAUAUAUAUCUUUUGCUUAGUGUGUUUAGUAAAUAAAGUGGCUAUGCUAAUCUGUAUCUAAAUAAAACUCUAGCAUGGAUAUGAUGAAUAGUUGCUCUGCUUAAUUUUUAAAAUUUGAAGUUCUCUCUCAAGUUUAGACAUAACUGUUAUAAUUUAAAGCUUGCUCUAGACCUAAACUUGUGGGAUGAAAACUUGAUCUGAAGUCUAAGUUGUUAACGGAUAUGAUAUAGGAAGGUUGAGCUGCUGUUUAUCUGUUCCUAGAGAUGCUAGAAUUCUGGAGAAUUUUAUCUUUGAAAAAUCUUUAAAAUAUUGCAUGAUGAGUUCCUGUAUGAUGUGAGUUUAAAUUCCUACCACAGCCAUAUAUACAUGCUUGCUAGACGUUGAGCCACAUAUUUACUAUUUACUGCUUAUGAGCAUUGAGUAUGGUCAAGCUGUGUAGACCCUUAGGAGCUUGUCAUGUGGUCAAAUCAAGAUUCACUUGCAGGUUCACUCAUAUAUGCUACUUCUACUCCGGAAGUACCAUCCACAUAUAUCCACCCAUUUCCAUCUCCAGAAUCACCCAAAAAUAUUCUACUCCUGAUCCGGGAGAGAAUAGCCAAAAAAUAUCUCUGUGUUUUCCUAUGAAAUAAAUGUUCAAGUUAUCUUGUUACUACCACUUGCUAUAUUAUCUCAAGAGAUGAGUGCUCUAAAAAAAGAGAUACGAGGAAAUAAAAAGGGGCAAGUGCCCGGAACCUCAAAAGAAAAGAAAGUAAGACAAGAGGUAAAAAUGGACAAGUGUCCGACAGUAUAAUUAGGGGUACAAGAUACCCACCUGAGAGAAAAGAAAAAGAAGAGCAUCUCAUUCUCCUCACAAUGUUUCAAAAGCAAGGAAGGUAUGUAUCCCCUCAAAAGAGCAAAAGUAGAAUUAGACUUCCACCAUUGUUCAUCACCAUACACCAUUCAUUCGCCACACAUGCACAUCUUGAUUUGACUUAAUGAUUUGAUUCUUUGGAUCUAUGGUUUGACUAUACAAUACAUGUCUUGUAAGUAUGUAUAUUUUAUCUCCCACCUAUGAGCUCCAGAUAUUAAAGCCUUAUUAGAGUAGGGUGAGAGAGAAGGCAAUGUCACUAUGCCUUAUACCACAAAUACUACAUAUCUUGAGAGAAGGCAUAUACCAUCACUGCCUUGGUAAGGAUCCAGAAAUACCACAAAAGAGAGAUAUGAGAGAGUCAUACAAGGAAUCUCUGAGUUUUAUUUGAAAAUCUGCAAAAAACUCUAGAGCUAUAGCUGAUCAAGAAUAAGAGACAUGGCACUUGACUAGACUGUUCUAUCUUUUAACUGCUCAAGAUGGAAGUGACAGUUACAAGUCCCAUAGUGAAAGGUAAAGUAAGUAAGUUUUAAGUCUUGAUAGUUUACUCUAACUUAGAGAUAAGACCUCAUUUAAAAGUAUGUGUACCGUCAAUUUUUAAAAUAUUGCAGCAACUUCUAAUCUAUCCUUGCUCAGGGACGAGCAAGAGGUAAGCUUGGGGGAGUUUGUUGACGGUCCUUAAGUAUCAAAUUUAAUUAUCAAAUAAACAAAGAAAGGGAUCCAAAUGAAACCAACAUCUAGACUUAGGGUUUUAUCUGACAGAAUUCCACGAGUUUUGGUGUUUGUCUAUUUCUGCAGGGGGUUAUCAGGAAAUACGGAAGAAAGGCCCACAUGUCAGGAUUACAUAGAGAUAUUAACGUGCCGUGCAAUUAUCUUACAUCUAGAAGACUCCAGAAGUCACGGGAAGGAAGCAGAGGCCGAACGGGGACUGGCACUGGGCGCCCGCCCUCCUGCUGAGUCCAAUCAGGACUCUGUUUCGGGGAAGAUCUCCACCGACCUAAAGGAUCAAGGAUAACCGUUCAAUCAAUGUCGGUUUGAUCCAACGGCCCAUAUUCACUUGAAGGGACUAUAAAACCAGACCCCCUGGCCCCUAGAGGAGAGAGCCUCUCAACCCUAAUUCAUUAUUCCUCAAGGGAGAAGAAGCCUCUGAUCAAGAUUAGAGCCACCACAUCAAUUAGACAUCUAGAUUAGCAUAGCUACAUAGGAUUAGAACUAGAAGGAGUCAAUCUUCGAUUGGUUUCCGGAUCUGUCAAGAGGAUUCUUGGUAAUUCUCUAAUUAUUCUUCUAAUUGUUCUUCUAAUUAUCUUUGUUCUUCAAUAUUAUGAAUAUGACUUUGUUCUACUUCAAUAUAUUGCUUAUGACUUUGCUCUACUUGCUUAUAUUCAAGAUUAUAUUGUUCUUAGUUUAUCAUGGUUAUGUACUUGGCUUAGUUAGAUUGGAUCUAUAUACAUGCUUAGGAUCGUAUAGCGUUUAUCCAUCGGAUCCACGGGUAAAUUAUAGAUAUUGUAUAGGCGUGGUGCUUAUAUCGUAUUUAUCUGCGAUUGUACCCUAUGCCAGAUCGUGGGGUAGUUCGUGAUAGUGACAGCUUCAUUGAUUCUUAUAUAGUCCCCCUCUCAUGUAUUGGGCUGGCAGAGCAAUAUUAUUACAGGGGAGUGAUUGCUAUGUUUCUCAUUUACCUUGCUAAUAUCACUAUGCAUGGGCGUAGUCUUGUCUCACAAUGAUUGCUAAGUAUGCUUGCACUAACUAUGAUAAUGCUAGACUAUAUAGUUGAGAAUAACUUAGGAAAUAUUCUUGUAGUUCGUUCUAAUUCCAUGCUAAUGACUUUCUAGAGUAUCUAAUUGAGGUGCUUAUCAUAUUUAUUAUGUGGCUAAGUUAUGAUCAGACUAAUUAUCUUUGUCACUAUUCAUUACUUCAUAUAUCUUUUAUGUGACACUUACCCCUGUAUGAAAGAGUUAGAUUAAUGUUCUCAAUUAUACAUGCAAUGAUAGAUACUCAAUCUCAUAUUCCAUUCUGUAAUCAAUAUUGAUGAUUGCUAAUCCCUUCCCAGUGGUAAAAAUAUAAAUAACGAUACCUGGAAUACUUCUCGGUUAAAAUGCUACAUCGGUAUUAAUCUGUGCGCUUGCAGAUCCCAUUCAUUAUUUAUUUAGAAGAGCAAUUGCAUAUUUUAAUACCGCGUCUCUCAUGUCAUGCUAGGGAUGACAACUUGGCUUAAGUGGUGUGAGGGAUAGGUUUGGCAUUUUUGGCACCGUUACUAGAAUUAGAAAACUCUCUACUUUUGGUAGUGAUGUUAAGAAUACCCAAUAGCCGAUACGACAGAUAUUGAUCUAUCGGCUUGGGUUCCAGCCCUUUUCAUCACCCAAUCAUACAAAUGGUGGUGGGAAGAAUGGAAAGAGCAUCUGUUCAAGGUACCGCCUCAUAUGUACCGCAACAUGAUUGAUCCCGAACAUGAAGUCCCCGAUGACGUUGUAAGUUUCUUUUCCGAUACUCAAUCUUUUUGUUAACUUUAAUUAUAUCGGUAACUUACCCCCUUUUUAUUUCAACAGGUUGAUGACCCAGCACCGACAAUGAGUAGAAGUGGGAGGCCGAUCGACCUUCUCCCAUCAUCCACAGUGUCUCUGAUCGGCCACAACGCACCAAGCCUAGCAGUCCUGAUGCACCAAAACAUCCGCUUCAAGAAGAUGACCACCAAACGGUCUAAAACUUCGCCAUCGGUAGCUGCCGCUACACUAGCACAAGCUUUCAAGGUAAAAUCUUCAAAUUUCCUUUUUAUUAUGCCAAUUUUAUCUCAUAUUCACACUAUUCUUUCAGGGUGCAUCGGCUACGACUGGAACGUCAUCGGUAACUUUGCUUUGUAUUAAGCAUUCUAUUCUUUCAAAUUUCAACAACAUUUCUCUGCUUUUAUAUCUAACCCAUAGAACUUUGAUUUUUUGUGACAGCGGACUGGCGCAUCGGCAAAGACCAAAAGUGCUCAAUCAUCGGGUGCCGAUGCCCACCAGUCCGGCCAAGCUCCACCCAAGAGAAAAGGCCCAAAAGCACCAAGACCCAGCCAAAGCGACAGAAGACAGCACCAUCCUCUCCACCUCAUCUAGCAUCCCAGAUUCAAGCAACACCUUCUUCUCCACCUCAUCCAGUGCCUCAGACACAAACAAACCCAGCCGAUGUGUCUGAACAGGUCACCAAUCCUGUUGAUCUAGGCAUGUCAUCGACCAUUCUCCCUGAGUAGAUAAUUGCUAUCCCUCCUCAAGGUAAAGUACCGAUCACAAAAUCAUUACCGAUGACUUCUUUUAUAAAUACCAUCGUCACCUUUGGUAAUUUCCAGUUGAAGAUAUUCCAUCGGCAGCUCUAGCCGAUCAAAUUAUAGUGCAAGCUACAUCUCCAUGCCAGAGACAAGAAAUUGCUCUAAAACAGGUAAGUCAUCUGACCCAUCAGACUUUGCAUUAUCGAUACUUAAUCCUGGUUAACUUAUAUUCUUCUUCCCCUAGGAGCAAGAUUCUCCCGAUAGCUUAUUCUCCUUUGCCAUCGACAUCUCUGAUAACGAAGGUGAAGAGGCAAGCUCUUCAUUGGGUCAGAUCAAGUCCAAGCUUGAAGACUUACUCGCCCUAUUGCAGCAAGACACAGCUCAGCUGGUAGAUGAUUCUGACCCAGCCAAAGACAUAUUCAAGACUCUCUGUGGCCAAAUUCCUGCCGAUGUCGAGGAGAUGCUCUUCCAAGCGGCUCACCAGGAGAGUCGCCAGCUCCAAUACCAAAAGGCCAUCCAGCGCCUUACACCUAGCUUAAGAGGAGAUGCUGCAAGUCAAGCACGCUACCGAUGAAAAGCAUAAGAGCAUCGGCAUUCUGCAAUCUUCAGGUGACAAAUUAAAAUAGAAGAUUUUUGAUCUAUCGGCAAAAAGAGAGGCCUUGCUUGCCGAGCUUAAACAAGUAGAGGAAGCAUUGUCCCAAGCUCAACAGGAGGAAAGUCAACUGCCCAAUGCACUCAAGAAUCUUCAACAAGAGAGGGAUGCCCAGGCUCGUAAGGCAUUGCUAAUGAAGAAAAAGUUGAAACCAGUGGAAGGCUCAGCCGAUGAAAAUGCUGAAAGCCCUAGUUUGGUUUCGGAUAAUUGAUGAAACCCUAGUACUAACCUCUAUGCUAAGUGUGUGUAGACUUAAUGAGGUUGGUACAUGCCAAGUGAAGGAGCAAGUGGUGAUCAUGGUGAUGAUGGUGAUGACCACAAGGUGAUCAAGUGCUCAACUUGGAAAAGAAGAAAGAGAAAAACAAAACCCUAUGGAGAUCAAGGCAAAGGUAUUGCUUAGGGUUUUGGUUUUGGUGAUCAAGACACCAUAGAGGGUGUGAUCACAUUUAGGAUAGAUAGCCGUACUAUAAAGAGGGUAAUUCUUUGGCUAAACGGUUAUCAAGUGCCACUAGGUGUCAUUGUUCUUGUGCAUGCAUUUAGAACCUAGUAAGCUAACUUAACUCCUUCAAAGAAAAUGUUUGUGAAAAUGCUAACACACGUGCACUUGUUGGUACACACGUUGUGGUGUUGGCACACUUUGAGAAGGAGGUGGAGUUUCAAAGGUAGAGAGAGGAUGGGUCGCGGGAGGGAAAUUUUCGAGAAAAUGAAGUGCAUAUUUUCUAUUGCGCCGGAGGGAAAUUUGGAGAUGUCGCGGGAGUGUUUCUCGCUGAGGUACACUCACCGAACGCUGGCUCAGAGGCACCGGACGCUGUGUCUGAGCGUCCGGUGUGCAGGCUGCCUGACUCAGCUAGGGUUAGGCACCGGACGCAAGCUGGAGCGUCCGGUGGUCUGAGUCCGGUGUCCGUACGAUUUUCAAACAUCUCUGGGUGUGAGUCCGGUGAGCACCAGACGCUCAGGGUGCGUCCGGUGACCCUGUGAGUUUGCGGAACUCUCUGCGCAUGAGUCCGGUGUGCACCGGACGCAUCCGGUGCUAACUUGCUCAGUGUCCGGUGCUCUGCAGGUUACCGUUAGACUCUAACACGCUGCUGACGUUGGAGCACUGGACGCUGGUGUUGAGCGUCCGGUGCCCCUUUAAGAGCGUCCGGUGACCCCGUAUUUCGCCCAGUGAAAGAGCCAACGGCUCUAUUUGUUUGAGGGGCUAUAAAUACGUGUUUGGCCGGCUUGGGGCUCAUACUCUUGGCAUUCUAGCAUACUUGACAUCUUUGUGAGCCUAAGCAAACACCUCCCACUCAUCUCCUUUAUAGAUUAUACAUCUUUGUGAGAUUGGGAGUGAUUUCAAGUGCAUUUGCUUGAGUGAUUGCAUCUAGUGGCACUUGGGGAUCGUUCUAGCUGGGGUUUUCUUGUUACUCUUGGUGGUUGCCGCCACCUAGACGGCUUGGAGCAGCGGAGGAGGAUUGGCACGAGUUGGUGAUUGUUCGUGGCCAUCUCCCGGUGAUUGUGAGGGGUCUUGUACCUUCCCCGGUGGAGAGCCGAAAGGUAACUCUAGUGGAUUGCCCGUGUCAUUGAGUUACCUCACUUGUGGGUAGGUUCUUGUGGUGUCCUAGUGAGGACGAGGUUCGUGCUACACCUCUUAGCCACCGAACCACCAAGUGUUGGUCGACACAACGGGGAUGUAGCGUGCCGGCAAGCACGUGAACCUCGGGAGAAAAAUUGUGUGUCUUCAUUGUGAUUGUUCAUUGGAUUUCUCCCAGUGAUUGGACUUCAUAUUAGUGAUUGGUUCAUCCCCUACACGGCGGUAUAAAUAUCUUUUCCUCUCCUUUUACUUACCACAAAGUAGUGUAACUAGUUUUAGUUGCUAGUUUUGACUUGUGUAGUUAAGCUCACUAGUGUAACUUGUAGAAGACGUAGAGCUUGUGUGCAUAGUGAUCAUAGCAACUAGAAUUAUUGGAUAGGUGGCUUGCAAACACCCCUUUUAGAGCUAGAGCAAAAAGCUACGCUUUGUUAUUUACUAACCGCUUGCUCUAGUGAGUUUGUAGAUUUUUUAAAUAGGAUAUUCACCCCCCUCUAGCCAUAUUAGGACCUUUCAAGUGGUAUCGGAGCCGUGGUCACCGUUUGUGAAGGCUUAACAACCUCGGUGCUCAAAUUAUGGCUCAAAUAGUGUUCAACCAUGUUAGGGGCAAACCACCGUUCUUUGAUGGCACAAGUUCUUUUGACUAUUGGAAGAGAAAGAUGAAAAUGUAUCUUGGAUCAAUAAAUGAUAGAGUGUGGGAAGUCACCGAAAAUGACUUUGUGAUUCUUGAUCCGGCUAACCCCACCGACAAUGAGAGAGCAAACAAGCAAUGCAAUACUAUGGCUCUCAACACAAUCUACAAUGGCAUUGAUUCAAAAGUGUUUGAGCAAGUCAAAGAUCUUGAGAGGCAAGUGAAGUGUGGACAAGGCUUGAAGAAACAUAUGAGGGCACUACAACGGUAAAAAGUGCCAAAUUGUAUAUGCUCAAGGACAAGCUAUCCAACUUCAAGAUGAAGGAUGAUGAGUCUAUACCGGAGAUGUUCUAUAGGCUCCAAGUCAUCAUUAAUGAUCUCAAGGGCCUUGGUGAGAAAGUGAAAGAUGAGGACUUCAUUCACAAGUUCUUGAUGUGCUUGCCUAAGAGGUUCAAGACAUUGAGAACAAUCAUCUUUAGAGGUGGAUUGACCGGUGUAUCUCCAAAUGAGGUACUUGGAGAUGUCAUGACCGAAGAUCAAUACAAUGACAAUGAUGAUGAUGAGGUCAUCAAGAAGGAUGAUGAUGACAAGAAGAAGAAGAGUGUAGCAUUCAAAGCUAGCUCUUCAUCCAAGAGCAAGAACAAGGGCAAGGCCAAGAAAGAAGAAUCAAGUGAUGAGGAGUGCUCCAAUGAUGAUAGUGAUGAUGAAGCAUUAGCACUCUUUGUCCGCAAAUUUGGCAAGAUGAUGAAGAAGAAGGGCUACCAUACAAGAAAGAGAAGGGACAACUCCAAGAACAAGGAUUAUGUGAGGCUAUGCUACAAGUGCAAGAGCCCCGAUCAUAUUGUGGUGGAUUGUCCAUACAAUAGUGAUCAUGAUGAGCAUGAAAAGAAGAACAAGAAGGAGAAGAAAGAAAAGAAGGAGAAGAAGAUGGUCUUCAAAAAGAAGAAGAAGGGUGGAUCCUAUGUUGUGACAUGGGAUAGUGAUGCUUCUUCGGAUGAUGAUUCUAGUGAUGAUGACAAGGCAUCCAAGAAGAAGGCACUUGCAAGCAUUGCUAUCAACAACAAGCCAUCACUCUUCGAUACUCCUUCAUGCUUCAUGGCCAAGGGCCACAAGGUACAAUAUGAUGAGAGUGAAAGUGAACAUGAACAUGAUAGUGAUAGUGAUGAAGAAAAUGAAUUCACUAAUGAACAACUCGUGGACAUGUUAGAGCAAGCCGAUUCACUUAUUCAAUCUAAAAACAAGAAGUGCAAAGAAUUGGCCAAGAAGUUAAAAUCUCUUGAGCAAUCCUUUGAUGAGCUCAAUGCUAAUCAUGAGAGGCUAGUGGAAGCCCAUGAGAAGGUUGGCAAGGCUCACACCAAGCUUGAGAAAGCUCACUCCUUGUUGUUAGAAGAGAACAAGGAAAAGGUUGUUGUAUCAUGUGAUGUGGGCACAACAUGUGACUUAAUUAAAGAAUCACCCAACCCACCUAUUGUUGUUGCCACUAACUCUUCUUGUAGGUCUUCAUCCACCAUCACCAACUCUACCUCUACUUCUAGUGUUAGUGUCACUUGUGAUACCUCACUAAAGGUUGAGAAUGAGACUCUCAAGAGAGAGGUGGAUGAGCUCACUCAUGCCCUAGGCAAGGCCUAUGGUGGUGAGGCCCGCUUGCUAAAGUGCUUGGGUAGCCAAAGGUUUUCUCUCAACAAAGAGGGAUUAGGCUAUACCCCCAAGAAGGGCAAGAAAGCCUUUGCAACUCACAAGCCUAGCUUUGUGAAGAGCAAUGGUCGGUAUUGCAACAAAUACAAGCAAGUUGGGCACUUAGAGCUUAAUUGCAAUAAAAUGAACAAGAACAAGAAAAUUGCUAAUGUACCUUACAUUCCUUUUGAUUCAUGUUAUGUGCUUACCAAGGGUGAGAAGGGUGUGCAUGCUAAGUUUGUUGGUACACCAAUUGUGGGUCCAAAGAAGAAGGCCAUUUGGGUACCAAAAAGCUUAGUCACUAAUCUCCAAGGACCCAAACAAGUAUGGGUACCUAAGAAACAUUGAUUUGUUUUGUAGGUAAACUAUAAAGCCGGAGGAAAGCAUUGGGUGCUUGAUAGUGGGUGCACACAACACAUGACCGGUGAUUCAAGAAUGUUCAAUUCAAUCAAUCGAAAUGAUGACCAUGGUGUUGAUAGUAUCACUUUUGGUGACAAUGGCAAAGGCAAGGUCAAAGGGCUUGGUAAAAUUGCUAUAUCCAAUGAUUUGAGCAUUUCCAAUGUGCUACUAGUAGAGAGCUUGAACUUCAAUUUGCUAUCCGUAGCUCAACUUUGUGAUCUUGGUUUCAAAUGCAUAUUUGGAGUUGAUGAUGUAGAGAUCAUAAGUGUAGAUGGCUCUAACUUGAUAUUCAAAGGAUUUAGAUAUGAGAAUCUAUACUUGGUUGAUUUCAAUGCUAGUGAAGCUCAAUUAUCAACAUGCUUGCUCACUAAAUCUAGCAUGGGUUGGUUAUGGCAUAGAAGGCUUGGUCAUGUUGGAAUGAAACAAUUAUACAAGUUAUUCAAGCAUGAUCUUGUUAGAGGCUUGAAAGAUGUCACAUUUGAGAAAGACAAGCUUUGUAGUGCAUGUCAAGCCGGAAAGCAAGUUGGCAACACUCAUCCAAAGAAGAGCAUCAUGAGUACAUGCAAGGCAUUUGAGUUGCUGCACAUGGACUUAUUUGGACCAACCACAUACACAAGCAUUGGUGGAAACAAAUAUGGAUUUGUGAUAGUGGAUGAUUUCACAAGAUAUACAUGGGUAUUCUUUCUUAGUGACAAGAGUGAUGCUUUUGCAACCUUCAAAUCAUUUGUCAAGAGAAUACACAAUGAGUUUGAAACAACCAUCAAGAAAGUGAGAAGUGACAAUGGAAGUGAAUUCAAGAAUACAAGAGUUGAUGAGCUUUGUGAUGAAUUUGGCAUUAGGCAUCAAUUCUCGGCCAAGUAUACUCCACAAUCAAAUGGUCUUGUUGAGAGGAAGAAUCGAACCUUGAUUGACAUGGCAAGAUCAAUGUUGAGUGAAUACAAUGUGAGUCAUUCUUUUUGGGCCGAAGCUAUCAACACGGCUUGCUACUAUAGCAACCGACUCUAUUGUCAACCCAAUGAUGGAAAAGACACCAUAUGAGCUCUUGAAUGGAAGAAAGCCCAAUAUUGCAUACUUUUGGGUUUUUGGUUGCAAAUGCUACAUAUUGAAGAAAGGCACUAGAUUGAGUAAAUUUGAAAAGAAAUGUGAUGAAGGUUUCUUGCUUGGUUACUCCACUACUAGGAAAGCUUAUAGAGUUUGGAAUUUGGCUAGUGGUACUCUUGAGGAGGUGCAUGAUGUUGAAUUUGACGAAACCAAUGGCUCUCAAGAGGAAGAUGAGAAUCUAGAUGAUGUGAGAGGCACUCAAUUGGCCGAUGCAAUGAAGAAUAUGGACAUUGGUGAUUUAAGGCCAAGAGAGGUGAUUGAUGUUGAAGAUGACAAAGAUCAAAUUCUUGAAUGAGAGCUCAACCAAUGACCGCAUCAUUAGUGGAUAAAUAUAAUCUGAAGGGCUUUUCAUGCUGAGGUGGAACCAAGACUGGAGGAUUUGCCAAAUAAUUCUUGAUUUCAUCCAAGGCUAAUUGUUGCUCUUUUCCCCACACAAACUCCUGAUCGGCUCUUAAUUUAAGCAAAGGGCUGAAAGCACAAACCUUACCCGACAGAUUGCAUAUAAAUUGUCUGAUAAAAUUAAUCUUGCCGAUAAAUGACUGAAGUUCAGUUUUAUUGGUAGGAGCAACUAUUUUGCCGAUCGCAUCAAUGGAUCUCCUACUAAUUUCAAAUCCUCUCUGAUGCACCAUGAAACCUAGAAACUGACCUGUCGAUACACCAAAUGCACAUUUAUUAGGGUUCAUUUUCAAACCAUGUUUCCUUGUACACUCCAACACUUUUCAUAAAUCGGCCAGAUGUUUUAUGAAAUCUCCAGACAUAACCACCACAUCAUCAAUAUAGAUUUCCACCAAAUUGCCGAUGAACUCGUGGAAAAUAAAAUUCAUGGCCCUCUCAUAAGUAGCACCAGCAUUUUUCAAGCCAAAAGACAUGACUAUCCACUCAAACAACCCAACAUGACCAGGGCACCUAAAUGCAGUUUUGGGAAUAUCUUCCUCAGCCAUGAAUAUUUGAUUAUACCCUGCAUUGCCAUCCAUGAAACUAAUAAUUCGAUGUCCAGCUGCAGCAUCAACCAACAAAUCGGCAACCGGCAUUGGAUAACCAUCCAUCAGCGUAGCUUUAUUGAGAUUCCUAAAAUCGAUGCAAACACGAAGUUUUCCAUUCUUUUUGUACACAGGAACAACAUUUGAAAUCCAUUCGGCAUACCGACACUGCCGAAUAAACUUAGCCUCAAUGAGUUUGGUUAUUUCGGCCUUAAUGUUAGGAAGAAUAUUGGGGUUACAUCGGCGUGCUGGCUGCUGAUGUGGCUGAAAUCUAGAUUUAAUAGGCAACCGAUGUGCAACAAUUGAUCGGUUUAAACCAGGCAUUUCAGUAUAAUCCCAAGCAAAGCACUCUUUAUAUUCUUUUAACAAAUCGAUUAAUUGCUACUUACAUUCAUAAUCUAAUUUAGCACUAAUAAAGGUAGGCCUUGGCCUAUCACCACUUCCUAUAUCUACUUCUAUUAAAUCAUCAGCCGAUGUAAACCCCUGUCCUAACUUUCCAUCAUCGGUGAACCUAUCCAUUAAAACUCUUCAUCAAAACCGACUCCUUGGAUCUGUGUAAUUUCAUAAUCGGCAACCUUGAGGAAAUCUUUCUCCCAAACCUCUCCUGAUAUGCAUCUAGUCCGCUCAUAGGUGUCUGAUUCUGCCGAUGCAAUGACAUAUGAAGAAUCUCCCGGGACAAUCUCAAUCUUGUCACCUACCCACUGAACAAGGCAUUGAUGCAUUGUAGAAGGAAUACAACAAUUGGCAUGAAUCCAAUCUCUCCCUAGCAGUAAAUUAUAUGUACCUUUCCCACUGAUGACAAAGAAGGUCGUUGGCAAGGUCUUGCUACCAAUGGUUAAUUCAACGCAUAUAGCUCCCUUGACUGGAGACACAUUUCCUUCAAAAUCCUUCAACAUCAUAACAGUCUUGGUUAAAUCCUGAUCUCCUUUGCCAAGCUUCAAUACAUUACAUAUGACAUGACAUUAAUUGCAGCUCCCCCAUCAAUAAGUAUUUUGGAAAUCGGCUACCCAUCAACCCGGCCUUUGACAAACAAAGCUUUAAGAUGCUGUCUUUCAUCAUCGGAAGGCUUUUCAAAAAUAGCCAUCAUUGGAUCAAGUGCCAACUGAGCUAUCUGAUUAGGGAGAUUUACUUCCUCAUGAUCACUAAAGGGCGCAAGAAAUUCCAUCGGUAACAUAAACACCAUGUUAACAUCUGCCAAUGGCCCUUUUCCCUUGGGAUUCGAUUGCUGCCGAUUCUCAGACUUAGAAAAAUUUUCUUCUCUAUAUAGAUCUUCUUGGCGUUCUCGCUGCAUCCUCAUUCUAUGCGUCCUUCUUAACCCUUCUAGGCACCAUCGGGGAAGCUUUGUCUUCCAUACCGGCUGAUAGCAAACUUCCCUUGAUUCUACCCAAUGAGUAUUAGCAUCUCUGCAGAAUAUAAAUUCAUUGGGAACCCAUGCAUCUGCCAUUUCUUCUAGUUCCUCUUGGUUCCUUAGAAAAUGACCAACAUAUUCACCAAGUCUGUCAUACACACUAAGUCUGCCCCCCAGCUGAUCAUGAACUGACAUUCUCCCCCUGAUCGGCUCAUUAAAGCGUCGAUCAUUGUUCUAGAAUCGGUGAUCUGAUCGAUCAUACCGAUGAUAUCCAUUGCACUUAGGACAGUCUCUGAUAGUCGGCAAUUUGAUAUUUUGUUCCCAACAAUGAAUGAAGAACGGGCAAUUCCAGUGAUCUUUAUGUCGAUUCUAUUCUUCGUGCUCCCUCUCCUCUUGUUGACACCGAUACUGAUCUCAUGCUGCUGCCAAGUCUCUCGAUGCCGCCUAUGAGUGGUCACAACGCCAGAGCGAGGAGGCCGCCCAGAGCUGCUACCCUCCUUGAUCAAGCCUUUACCUUUAGCGUCAUCGGUGGUUACUUGAUGUCAAGGAUCCACUAAUGCAUUCUUCUCAGCAGUUUUUGAUGUUAAAACCUUAGUUUUACCUUUGGCAUCCAACAUAUUUGCAGGGAAAGGGUGUUGAUCAAUUUUCAUCGGCUUUUGAGCUUUGGAAUUAUCAAACUUGAUUCUCCCAGACUCUAUAGCCAUUUGCAAUUGCUGCCUAAACACUUUGCACUCAUUUGUGCUAUGUGACAUUGCAUUGUGCCACUUGCAAUACUUGAUUUUCUUUAGCUCCUCUGUCGAUGGGAUCACAUGAUUAGGUGACAAUUUAAUCUGCCCCUCCUGAAGCAAGAAAUCAAAUAUCCUAUCGGCCUUAGUGAUAUUGAAAGCAAACUUUCUUAUUCUAGGCUUUUCUUCAUUAGAAUGUGAACUCAUUGCCUCAUCAAUAGGCUUUUCUUGGUUCAAAAACCUUGAUAUCUUGAUCAGAAAUCCUCUGCACCAAAUGACUCAAGCUUUCAAAUUCUUGAGAAGCAUAUUUAUCUUUGAUAUGUGGCAAUAAACCCUGGAAAGCCAAAUCAGCUAACUGUUGAUCAUCCAAAACCAGACUGUAACAUUUGUUCUUUACAUCCCGCAGCCUCUACACAAAGCUUUCAACCGAUUCAUCAUUGUGUUGCCUCAAUCUUACUAAAUCAGUAAUCUUCUUUUCGUGAACCCCAGAAAAGAAAUACUUGUGAAACUGCUUUUCUAGAUUAGCCCAUGUAAUGACUGAGUUUGGAGGCAAUGAAAUAAACCAGGUAAAUGCUGAUACUGACAAAGAUGAUGAAAAUAAACGUACUCUUAACUCAUCUCUAUUAGCAGCUUCUCCACACUGGAUGAUGAACCGAUUGACAUGUUCCAUGGUUGAUGUGUCAUCUUGUCCAGAGAACUUAGUGAAAUCUAGUACCUUGUAACGAUUUGGGAGUAGAAUUAAAUCAUAAGGAGGAGGAUAUGGUGUCCGAUAAGAAUAAGUGUUAACCUUAGGUUUUAUUCCAAACUAGUCUCUCAUAACCUCUGCUAUCUUAUCGGCCCAAUAGACAUCGGCAUCCUGCCGAUGUGCGGGUUGAAUUUCUAGCACCUACUGAUAAGCUUCCACGUGUCUCUAGGGUACACGGUCUCUAUGAAACAUUACAUUGGCCAUAGCUUGUUGACCACCAACCUGUUGAGUGAGAUUCAUUGGUUGAUUUACUGGUCCUUGAUUCUGAAAACCGACCUGCAUCUGUCCUUGCUGGAAUCCCGUAGCCUGAUGACUCUGUUGUGUCACAUGUGGAAAGAACAACUGCUCUGUCCAACCAUUAUUAGCGUUCAUCGGUAUAUGUCCUGCUGAUGGUUGAUAAUUGGUUGUCACUGCUAGGUUGGCAUAACCUGUUUGAGUCACAAACCUCUGUUGAGUUAGCAACGGAUUUGUCGAUGAAUUUGCAUUAGGCAACUGGAAUGUCGGCAUUUGAAAGUUCCCUGUAACAGGUCUUGCAGUAGUAGUCGUUGAAUACUAAGGAAUUUGAGUCAUCGGUGAAACUAGGGGUGCCGAUGUCAUAGGAGCCUUCCCUGCUAAGUCAGUUACCUGAGAUGUUUCAGAACUAUUUGCAAAAAACUCUGGAGGCAUACCAUAUCCCCAGCAAUUAGGAGGUACUUGAUAAUUCUAAAACACAGACCCUGACAAUGCCGAUGCCGAUAAAUCUGUGUUGAGCUGAACCCGUCCCCCCUGAUGUCGUUGGAUUAGGUCUCAUCGGUGUAGAUUGCUCAUUAGUCAACCCUAAUGUGCUUGGAGGAGAAGUAGCUUCUGUACCCACAACGGCUGGAGGAGCCGAUGGAGCUGUAACCGAUGACAAUCCUGGCUGAUGAUAGGCCAGGCCAGCAUAUAGUGGUGGUGUCUGUCCUUCUUUAAAAGUUCUAGCCACAACAUUGUAAAUGGUAUUGGACAGCAUAUUGGAGUGAUUAAUCAAGGCACGAUUAAUAGCAUUAUCCACCAAGUCUUGCAAUUUACCAGGAUUGAGAUCAAAAGUAACCUGCCGAGGCAUCGGCAGUUCUUGCUUCUAGAUAACUUCCCUGCACCUGUUGACACUAAAGGAUUUCAAGCAAAGCUGCUUGUAUUCCUCCAUAACUCUCUCCAUAGCCUGCUUCUGCUCGUCCCUGAGAUCGGCUUCUGUCAUAGCAAUGACAUUCUCCGUGUCGAGAUCAGCAGUAGCCAUGUUGAUUUUGUUGAUAUGUGGUCCCACUAGGCGUGCCAAAAGAUGUGUUGAUGCAAAACGGAUCUGCAAACACAAAGGGCUAAUACCCGAUUCAAACGUUGAGGCGUGCUAGCCGAUUUGACCUAGCAAUCGACAAACGUGAUAACUUGAAUACUUUGGUCCCGACAACAGUGAUGUGCUUGGAUGCCAUGGCCAAGAGGUAUUCACGCGGAACUUGAGAAUUCGCCGAGUAUUGUUCGAUGAAUGCUUAAGAACUCGUAAAGAAAAGAAAAUAUGCGAGUUGACGAAGUCGUCAAAAAAGUAGAUGUAACAGUAUAUGUAAAACUUGUGUAUGAUAUUGAUUGAUUGUUAUUUUGCAUUGCUACUAGGCCGAUAUUUAUACUUUGUCCUAGGGAGUUACAACCAUAUACGACUAGGAUUUAAUUCUAAACCAAACAUAACUCUUACAUAAGGUAACCUCUAACAAAUAUGGAAAAUGACCACCUAUCUAUUCGGGCGAUCGGCAUAUCACCGUUGCUUUCCUAGCAACUCCCACGUCACCCUUCAUCAUCAUCGGCAUACUCCCCAUAUCCUUACCAACUCCCAUAUCUUUCUUCAUCGGCAUCAACAAUCAUCAACAUCAACAAUUAAUCAGCAAUGAUCAGCAGCUACCAUCAAGCUUAGCAACAUUUUCCACCCAUCAUCGGGCCAUUGGCAUCAUCAGCCAACGGUAAUCUUUUUAUCGGCUAGACACAACACCUCCCUGACCGCCGAUCAAGUUUCACUGACCAUCCUGACUCGUGCCCAAAAACAGUGUCAACACUACUAUCUUUACGCGAGCUCUGGAGUAAAGAUACCCUAACCAGACGACAGAGCAAUUACUAGCUUGAACAACUAACACUAAACUAACCAAGCACUUAUCCCAACACAAUCAAGCACCUAAGCUCACUAAUGAUAUGAUCACUAUAAACUAAGUACUUGAAAGGUAAAUAACACUCAAAAUACCAAAGGUAAAUGAUAAAUAAAUGAGUACUAAGAUAGUAAAGGUAUAAUACCAAAGUGGAGAAGAGGAAGACUUCUCAUCUCCAAGCUGAGCUACGCCUCGCUACUCUUCCCGCUUACAAAUCCAAUCUGCUAGAACGAAGCUAAGCUGGAGGCAGAGAGGCUAUGGAGCUAAGCUGGCUACCUAAGCCAGGGUGCUACUAUGCUAACACUUGCUCUAAGCUCUAUGCUAUGUUUGAGCCUCUUUUUAUGUUCUCUUCUUUUCUCCCUUCCUUGAAAUAGUGGCCGAGGGGGUCCUUUUAUAGGCCAGGGAGUCCUCUGGUGGAAGGAGCUCAAAAGGGAGUGAAGAGGAGUGGCAGGUGUCAGAAUGGGGUGGCGAGCUCCACUCCCCCUAGUGGGCGCUAGGGUUCUAUGGGGGGCGCCACCCCUGGUUAACCGCCUUUGCUCCCAAUGGUCCAGAUGAUCUCCCAAGGUUGGUUUCUGGUAAGACACGUGUCAUAGUAACAUUUUGUCACAUGUUGGAAAACCAUGAUUCAUGUGACAAUAUGUUCUGGCCAUUGGAUCAAACCGACAUGGCUCUGGACGCCUUAGAUGGACUCCUAGAGGUGUCACGCAGAUCGGUGUUGUGGUUGGCCAUGUUGGGUGUGGCGCCCGCGAGGUGGGCCCGGCGACUGCCACCUUGGCAUGGCACCCACCACCCUAGUUGGCCUAUGUAGCACCAGGUGUGGUGGUUUGCCUUUAGGGUGGAUCCUUUUCACUCUUUUUCCUGUUAUUUCAUGCAUACAAAUAAAUUUCUAUGUACAUGUGGAACUAGGUAAGUAAUAACCAAAAUAUGCACAUGUUCAUGUUGAUUUACCAUGGUUUUGGAUGAAAUAUUGAUGGUCAAAACAAGUGUUAAGUACCAUCAACAAGUUCCCCCAAGCUACCAUUUGCUUGUCCUCAAGCAAAAUGCGGGUUUAGCAUAAAAGAGUUGGAUUAGAUAAUGCUUCAAUAAACUAACUUUGCAAAGUCUACUAAUACAACACAAUGCUUUUUAUAGCUAAAAGAGUGGUUUUGAAGUUUUACCAUAAAUCAUAGUAUUGUGGGACUUUUUAGCUUUUCACUUUGAUCAUGCAAAAAGUAAGAUAGAGCAAUAGGUAGAGACUUCUUACCUUGCUUUAGUUAAGCUAAGACUAUGUCUAGAGGGUUUUGAGAUUUUGGAAAACAAAGCUUGCUUUAGUUCCUCAAAUGGCUCACUCGAUUACUCAAUGGUGUUUGGUAAACCUCACCAAGGCGAGAAGUGAUAGCCUUUAACCUUUAUUACCUACAUCUAAUGGGAUGAUAUGUGGAGCUAUGGGUAGGUAAAAACUAAGCAAACUUGUGUUGUGUAUAUCGUUAAGCUAGACACUUAGAUCGCUAGGAGCAACAGGUCAUGCAGAAAUGAUAAGAUAUGGUGAAGGUGGUUGGUUUAAUGAAAGGUGGGAAAGGAAUGAAGGAAAAAUACUCCUUGAGACUUCCCCAUGUCUCUUGAAGGGGGAUAUGGUUGCUAUGGAUAAUUUUUUUAAUAAAUGAUAAGGAUGCCCUCACAUUUCUUUUGGGCUAUAUGCCUCAUAUAGAUAUAUUUUUUCUCUUUUUUAGCAAGCCAUAUCCUUCUCCCUUCUAAAGGCCGAUUGUUGAGGAAUCUUUUGCGUGUCUCAACUAUAUGGAGUACAAAGGAAAGGACACAUGCAUAUUUCCAGUGUAGAAAUAGCAUGGGGCUAGAAAUGGGAUGUAUAGAUACUUUUGCAGAUCUCCAGGGUAGAGAAUAAGCAAUAAUUUGGUGGUUGCAAACUUCCGAAAUGGAUAGUAGGCAAUAUUGAUAGGUGUAAGUGGGAUCUUGAUAAAAAAGGCAUGACAAAUUUCUCUACUUAAAUCAAUAAGGUCUAACAAAACUCACACUAACAAGAGCUUUUUAUGGUGGCUUCCUAUCUAAUGAGUGUGUAUAUAUGGCUAGUGGUGGGACAGAAAAACAACACCAUAGAGGAACUUUGGUAGGGUUUGUGAUUUUCUUGAAAUAAAAGUCCAGACUUUACCUUAACUCUUCUUCAAGAAAGUCAAAAGAUUUACUCUGACUCUACGACUCCUAAUCUUACCAAGCAUAACUAAGAUCAAGCAUAUGCAACCCACAAAACUUAGAUUCAUAGCGAACUUUAUUCACUCCAAAACUAUAGUGGUAGGGACCGCAUAGCAGACUUGUGCAUCAUUUUUUAGAGCAAUGAUUCAUCAUUUCCAACUUAUUAACAUGGGUUCAAUAGGAGUUGAAGUAGGAUUACCUUUUUGGUUAAGCAUAAUAAAUGACAAUAUAUAUGAUCAAGCUAACUGUCUUUAAUGAGAUAUAACAAUGAAUGUAAAGGUAGGAAAGUAAAGGAGCAAUAGUAAGAACAUACCUUUGUGGGGAGAUGACCUCCCCCAAGCUAGCUUGUUGCUGGGUGUAGAGCUUCUUCUCUCAGAUUGAUAUCCUUUAUAUUUAUUUGUUUGAUUACAAGGGAAAACCUAACUACUACUUGAUGAUAUAGCUUAAGGCUAUUCAUAUUUUAUUUGAAACAAAAUGAGAUAACAUAAAGUCCCUUCAUGAUUGUUUCAAGGACUUUGUUUUUUUGUUAUUAUUUAUUUCUUUAUUAUAUUAUUAUUAUAAAUAUAUAUAUAUAUAUAUAAUUUUUUAAUUGCAUACUUAAAUAUUUUUUUUGUUUUUAUCAUUUAUGCAAUGAUUUAAAAUGAUCCUAAUUCUAAAUGCAGUGGUAGGAUAAACCUAAUCUAAAUGCAACACAAUUUAAAGGCAAAAAUGUGGAAUAAAAAUGUAGAAUUUAAAUAGAGAGAGAGUAAAACAUACCUUAAAACCACGGGGGUUCUUCCUUAGUCGAAGGUUCAUCUUUUGGUGGCUUUCCUUCGAGGGGAUCUUCUUCUUCUUCCUCUUUCCACACGGCCUCCUUGUAACACCCUAGGUGUUAAGCAUGCACUUAGUCUCACACAGUCACUCAUAAUGCAUUCUCAUCAAGCAUAGCAUGAGCAUAGCAUCACAUAAACAUAGUAGCUUUUAAUUUGUAAUUUUAUGUGCUUAAUUUAAAUAAAUUAAAUAUAAUAAAUUAGUAUGCUUGCUUUAAAUUUGCUUGUGAUGACCCAAGUGAGUUGAACUAUGCUUUAGAAGAAUUAAGAAUAUUUUUGUGGAAUUUUUGGAGCUCUAGCAUUUGAGAAAUGGAUUUUAUACAAAAAUCCCCAAAAUGAAUUUAUUUAAAAACCUAGAACUAGUUUUGAAUUGCAUUUCAAAUUCUAUUUGGAAUUUGUAGUUGCAGUUUAAAGCAAAGUUGUAUAACUAUUUAUUUUUGACAACUUUGUUUUAGGGGCCAAACCUGAAAAAGAUUUUAAGUGAGUCAAAAUGAGCUUGGAAAAUAUUUGGGAAAAAGAAUUUCAAAAAAAAUGGAAAAGGGAAAAGGCGGGCGCUAGCAGGCCGCGGCCUCGCUUCUGGCCCGCUGGCCGAAGCCGGCCCAGCCCACCAGCGCGCCUUCCCCCUCCCCGCGCCCGCACCCGCGUCCAUGCGUGACGGCCGGCCACGCCGUGCCGCCACGGCGAGCCGGCAGGGCUCUGCCGCCGCAUGGCGCGCAUGUGCCGGCCUAGACACGCCCUGGUCGGCCACCGGGAGCGCCCGACCGCGCCCGCCUCCCCCUCCGCUGCCAUUUCCGCUCAUCCACACCCCCUCUCUCGCUUUCGCUCGCCCGGACAGCCGCAGCGGCCGUGCCACCGCUCGCCAUUGCCACCGACGCUCGGAGCUCCUCUCUCUGGCAGCUCCGGCCUCCUCCCUCGAAUCCUCGGCCACCAGCGACUCCACCUCGCCUUCCCGCACUCCGCGCGCACGCUCAACCGGCCUUGGUACGCUUUGCUCGCCCGCUAGACCUCAUCGGAGCUCCGGCGACCUCUCGGCUCGCGUGGUUCUCCCUCUCAUCUCCACCGUUGCCCAUGUUUUUAAGCGCAUUAGCUCCGCAUCGACUUCACACACCUUUCCCCGUCCUAGGUUCGCGCUCUACCGCACCGAGAUGGCCGAGCCACGGUGAGCAGUGCCGCCGCGUCCGCCAUGCUCGACGGUGAGCUAGCUCCGAUGCAUGUUAGGCGCUGAAAAGGGUACGGCUAGGUUCGUCUCGCGCUCGGGAAGCCGUAGGUGCUCUUGGGGUCGCCGGAAACCUCACCGGAGGUGAGAUCCCGGCCGGUCCACGGCCGUGGAUGCGCUGAGUGUAUGACAGGUGGGGUCAGCUGACCCGCGGGUCCCGCCUGUCAGCGCCUCUAGGGGAUGGAGUUCGGGUGCACUUAGCGUUUUGAAUCGGUUUUGCUUUAUAAAUGUUUCCCAGAAAUUUGUUUAAAUGGUAUUUAAUCCAUAUCUUGAGAUCCAUAGCUCCAAAAAUGAUGAAAUAAAGUUGGUGUGUUCCAUAAUUCAAGAUCUACAACCUAGUGUCUUUGAAUGUCAUGUUUGUACAACUUUUCUGUGUAAAUAUAAUUAUUUCAUGUUUUUGUUGAUAUUUGGAAAAUGCAUAGUAAAUAGAAUAUAACUCAGAAAAAUGUAAUUCUUGUUUUGUGAGCUUUGCAUGGAUGGUUAGUCUCGUGAAAAAAUAUGUAACACAACAUUUGCUGUAGGAAUUAAUUUAUGAUGAUUUAAAUGCAUGCAUGGCAAUGGUUUAUGAUUUUUAAUAAAUGAUUGGAUCAUGCAAUUAUUUGGAAAUUUUUGUGGGCAUUUCUUAUGUUAGUAAGUAAUUUAUAAAAAUAUGAAAUAUGUUGUUUGACACUUUAUCACGAGUAGGGUAUUUACACUUAAUUAUGUUGAUUAAACUUGUGGUUUUUGUGUAGGCCACAUUACCUGUCCAAAUAUUAUGAAAAUUUGGUGGUAGACUUUAUAAAUAACUAGUGACCUACUAUAAUUUUUGUAGAAUUUAUUGAUGAUCAGAAGUAUAUGCUACUGUGGUAGGCCUAAUAAUAGUUAAAUAAAUAAAACCUUGUUAUGCAUGAGAUAAAUAGAAUAAAUGGUGUUUGGUGUAUCUUUGAAGCACCAUGAUAGCUUGCUGGUUGGUAAUAACUUGUAGAAGAGAAUGCAAUAGAUGCUUUACUUUGGUUACAUGUUCUUGGAUGAUGUUGACUACCUUGUAGAAAUAGUUUCUUGUUUCAUCUAUGCACCAUGUCAUGAUAAUCUUGUAUUAACUUGUGUAAGCAUAGCACCUCGGACAUCUUGCACUCCACUCAUGAGCACACAUGCAUCAUACAGGCUCGCAGGAGAACGAGGUGGGACCCGAGGAACCGGAGGAGACACAGGAGGAGGAACAUCUGGAAGGACCCGAGCCAGAAGGAGAUCUACAGGAGUGCCCGGACCACAGGUCUAACACUUUCGAGAGAGGCAAGCCCUGGAGCAUUCUAAGUCUUCCUAUUCUCACUAACGUAAUUUGUUAUAUCAUGGUUGUUUUACUAUGCUGCAUUUAAGUGAUAGGAGUUGCUUGAUACCGUUGAUGCAUGUUUAUUCCUUGAUAUCACCACCUAUUUAUCUACCUUGUCCUAUAUAGAUAGGCUGGGAGUCUAUGCUUAGCUUGCUUAGCACGGUAGAAGUCGGAUGAUAUCCUGUCACCUAUGAGAUAUAGGUGGAUACCUGAAUGUUAGCGGUCAAUGCUAUGGUGAAAAAGUAACCAAGUGUGGGAAUGAAUCUGAGACCGGGCAGGGUCUUAUGGUGGUGUUGACCGUAGUGCCCCUACCUAUGUCGAUUAAGGACCGAUCGUUGACGGCCCUCUUGUCAUGUUGAACGCAUGCCCCACUUAGCUAGAAGGAGAAGUCGUUCCGAUUAUGAAGCCUGAACACUAUCCGAGCCGGGAGUCGAGCCGCCAUGCGCUGUAUUGGUGAUGGUUGAGGAGAACGACGAGGGCGCGGCGUGCAACCUUGGUAUACCUUGCAUACCUCGGUCGCAGGAACGGUCCUCGGGUACUGGCGGUGCCUGCCGAACCUGCGAAUUGGUCCUAGAUAGUGUAAUAUGGUGAUCUGUAGCUCACUUGAUCAGUGAGUGUGGUUUGUGUGCGGAAUAACUCGCCAGCUGGUCAGAAAUCGAUUCGAAUCGCCAUCGCUCCUGGAUAGUGAGCACUUGACAUGAGCCCUGUCCUCGUAGUAAGGACUAUGAAACACUUGGGUUAUGAUAAGUAAUGAACUGUGAAUGCUAUGAUAAGGUACUAUCAUAUCACAACAAUGUUGUUUGCAAUAGUACAGGUGCAAACCUAGAUGGUAGGUAUUAAUACCUAACUUGAGCUAAAUAAAAGAAAGGGGAGAUCAGAAUAUAUUUCUAGAUGGUUAAUGCUUUUGUGCAAAAAGGUUUCAGCUACCCCACUAUACAACCUUCAUAAUCCUUGAAGAGUCUUUUAUUUUUGGUUUAGGACGGGUAAGUCUAGCUGAGUACAUUCUCGUACUCAGGGUUCCAUUCCCAUGUUGUUUUGCAGAUGGUCAGAUGUACUAUGGGUAUUGCAUUCACUGCUUGUACCCAGCAAUGGGUGAUGACUAGACCAAGGGCGAUGGUCACUCUACCUCCUCUUUUGCUGUUGUGGGAAUGAUCAAACUAUAACACUAUAUCAGACUAAGUGUUUGUGUUACUUUAAAACUAUGAUGCUUCCGCUACUCUUGAACUUGGUUUGUAAUAACUUUAUGUGAACUCUGAUGUAAUUGUUGAAUGUUGUGAUCUGAAUGUAACUGUGGAUGGUGAUCGCUGAACUUAUUACGAUCUUGGCUGUAUGUGCGAUUGUGGUUUGAAAUCCUUUGAGAUUUCACAGACUACCAGGAUUAUAUGGGCUUAAGCUUGGCAAGUUGACUGUGUAAAUGGUUGCUAUCAGGCUUAAUCUCUUAUAAUUUGGGUGGUUCUGUUAGAGCUGGCAUCAUAGCAAGCUUCAACGGAUUACUGUUCAUAAGUACGUUCUAAAACAAACUUAAACCGGUUAAUAAAAGUUAGUUACCUAUUAAUGGUAAUCAAGGUGUUAAAAUGAGUUUUUGGAAAACUACACAGUGUGCCAAUGGUCAUAUCCUUUAUGCCCAGCUAAGGACUCUAAGGUGGCUAGUUAAGUACUGACUUGGGGUUUAUACAUCAUAUUUCUAUUUCGUCGCUCAUAUGGCGUGUAAUAGUAUGAGUGCCAUUCAUUUGAGUGGUAAUAUGUGGAUCAUUUUCCCCUACGCCAUGGUAAGUGGGAGCUGUGAGAGCAUCAUCGGAUACACUACCGGUCUAUGGAAGUGCUUUAGGGUGCUAUGUCAUGCACGCAUAUCUAGUGUGCCUGGGAAUAGUACCGCAUGUUGUGAGAUUCCGUCCUAAGAGGCAAUGCCGUCAUUAGGGUGAUGAUGUGGGUAGUGGCAUGUCACAUGCAUAGGUGUGGUACCUGUGUGUGUGGGGUGCAUAGUUCUAAUUUCUUGUUCUGCAUGUUCAUACUGUGGUUGGGCUGAAAUAAGUUUUUCUGCAGGUAUGCUAACCACGUUCUCGCAUAGAACGCUAGUUACGUUAUGAGAGCAACGCUGUGUGCCACAUCAUAUACCGUUUAGUAUUGACUUAUGUUUCUAAGUUUGUGAGAUUGUAAGUUUAUUGCAUGCAUCAUGUUCAUUUCAUAUCAUUACUAACUUCCUCCCCUUAUUUAAAUCUAUCCCAAUUGUAAUUAAAAUGAUAAAAGAUAAUCCUCAGUCUUACCCAAGGUAUUCUAUUUUCAGCAGAUGGCACGCACUAGGCUCACCGCUCGCAAGUCCACUGGUGGGCGGGCCCCACGCCACCAGUUAGCACCUAGGAGCUCGCGUCACAAGAGCAAGUUCCUAGGAGAGUUUGGGAUGCCUACCUUGUUGUGGAGGGUGCUCAGUUUGAUGGGGUAUCCUGAAGGAAGGGAACCUCACUACUAUUGGAACCGAGAGCAGCUUGGUGACGGGACCCUGGUGGGGAUCGAGGCAGUGAUUCCUACCAGCGGUGGUGACCCCACCUGGGGUGGCUGGGUAUACGAGUCCCGAGGCAGCACAACUUUCCAGGGUGCGAGUAGGGCUGCUUUUGCAGUUCUGAGGGAUAUCCUGGAGAGGUUUCCGCAUGAGCUGGCCCAUGCCUUUGCUGGGGUGUUUCCCCGGGAUGACCCCUACACUUCGGUGUGGGAUCAGUCCGAGGUAAAUGCUCUAGAGAGGAGUAUGGAUGAGGAUCAGCACAGUGACAGUAUAGCUAUGAGCGCGAUGUUUGCCAUGAUGAAGACUUAUGGAGGUCUAGAGCGCUGUUUGGGGCGUUUGUCUGGGUCUCUCCUGAUAGUUCAGGAUGAGAAGCGCCAGCUAUAGCAUGAGUUUGACAGUGAGGUUGAGAGGCUGCAGGCGGAGUUGGCCCGUGUUACUCUAGAGAGGGACUAGGCAGUCCUGCAGAACAGUGUGCCGAGUCAGGAUCUGCUAGUAGUGAGAGAGUAGAGAGACAGGGUGAAUGGAUUAACACAAAACCACCGAUCUUUAAAGAGGCCGUGGAACCGGUUGAGGCGGAUGAAUGGAUUAACACAAUGGAGCAGAAGUUCUGUCUCCUUCGGCUGACCGAAGAGCUCAAGGCAGAGUACACAGCGCAUCAGUUGUAGGGACCUGCUGGGAUAUGGUGGUCCCAACAUCGUACCACCUAUCCAGAGGGGACCCCGAUCACCUGGAACCGCUUCACCACCGCUUUCUGGGGAAAUUAUAUUCCUCAGGGUGUGGUGGAGAUGAAGAUUGGAGAAUUCAUGAAGCUGUGUCAGGGAACCAAUCUGUGAAUGAGUAUCUACACGCUUUCAACAAUCUUGCUCGCUAUGCUCUAGAGUUUGUGAACACAGAUGCUAAAAAGAUUGCUAGUUUUCAGAGGGGCUUGAGCCCAAAGAUGCUGAAGACUUGGGUACAGGGACCUGAGCUACUUUCAAUGCCUACAUCAGUGAUUGUCUGACCCAAGAGAAUAAUAACAACAACUAUAGUGCAUCCAAGUCACGUAAGAGGGCUUUUGAAGCCGCAUCCAAGUCACGUAAGAGGGCUUUUGAAGCCGGAUCGUCUGAGUCCAGGGCACCAGUGGCACGACGUCAGCAGUAUCAUCCUCCUGCCCCGGGUGCUAGGUUCUGACCCCCGCAGAAAAGGAAUACAGGACAUCCAACUCUGCGGAAGCCAUACAAGGUAGCAGUGGCUCCAGCAAAGCCAAGGGCAAAUCAAGCUACAGCACCAAGUGCCAACACCAUGACCAAGGGGCCAUGCUACAACUGCCAUAGGAUGGGGCACUUUGCUGAAGAAUGUCCAUACCCCAAGAAGCAGCAGACGACCUACCCAGCCCGUGUGCACCACACCUCGAUCGGUAAUAGCUGGUAUGUUCCCUAUUAACCAACAUCUUGCAGUUGUUUUGUUUGAUUCUGGAUCAUCGCAUUCAUUCAUGAGCCAAGCAUUCACACAAAAGCAUAAUCAGGUAGUUACAGAUGUGGGUUAUGGCUAUCACAUCAGCUCAGCAGGGGCAGAUGUGUUAACAAAUAGAGUGGUUCGAGGGGCAAUCCUGGAUAUAAGUAACCGCAUGUUCCGAGUGAAUCUGGUGGUCAUGCCUGGUUUAGUCUUGGAUGUUAUCAUGGGCAUGAACUAGAUGAAAGAGUGGGACACAGUUAUAGAUGCACGGAAAAGGAUGUUAUCUGUCACGGAGCCUCAGGGCAGUGGUUCUUUUCAAGUACCCCUACCUCAUCGGUUUUACUUUGCUAACAUCUCUUGUGCUACGCAAGUGAUUCCUUUAACCCAAAUCCCCGUGGUUUGUGAGUUUCCUAAUGUUUUUUAGAAGAAUUGCCAGGACUUCCCCCAGAUCAGGAAGUGGAGUUUGCUAUAGAUUUGAUACCAGGUACAACACCAAUCUCUAGAAGGCCGUACCGGAUGCCACCUAACGAGCUCGCUGAAUUGAAAACUCAGUUGAAGGAGUUGUUGGACAAAGGUUUCAUCCGGCCGAGUUCGUCCGAAUGGGGCUGUCCGGUGUUGUUUGUGAAAAAGAAGGAUCAAUCCUUGCGCAUGUGCGUGGACUAUCGUCCACUCUAUGCUGUGACAAUCAGGAAUAAGUAUCUUCUACCAUGGAUCGACAUCCUGUUUGACCAGUUAUCUAAAGCCAAGGUGUUCUCCAAGAUAGAAUUGAGGUUCGGGUAUCACCAAAUCAAGAUCCGCCCGCAAGAUCUACCAAAGACUGCUUUUUCCACCAGAUACGGUUUGUACGAUUAUCUUGUCAUUUCCUUCGGGUUGACGAAUGCUCCUGCAUACUUUAUGUAUCUGAUGAACUCAGUCUUUAUGCCAGAGUUAGAAAAGUUUGUUGUGGUGUUCAUCGAUGACAUUCUGGUUUAUUCAGAGAAUGAGCAAGAUCAUGCGGAGCAUCUAAGGGUCGUGCUGACACGACUACGAGAACAUCAGUUGUAUGCGAAGUUCAGCAAGUGAAUUUUGGCUUAAGAAAGUUCAAUUCCUAUGGCACAUUUUGUUAGAAGAAGGAAUCGUCGUGGAUCUAUCAAAAGUACAAGAAGUUAUGGACUGGAAGGCACCUACUUCUGUCUCAGAAGUUCGAAGCUUUCUUGGGUUAGUCGGGUAUUAUCAUCGUUUCAUCCCCGACUUCUCCAAGAUUGCUAAGACAAUGACCAGUUUGCUACAAAAGGAUCAUAAGUUCACUUGGACAGAGGGGUGUUAAGUAGCCUUCCGUGCCUUGCGAAAGCUACUAACCACUGCUCCUGUUUUGGCAUAACCGAACAUCGAGAAGCCUUUUGAUGUGUUCUGUGAUGCAUCGAAAAGUGGUUUGGGGUGUGUGGUGAUGCAAGAGGGCAGAGUUAUAGCUUAUGCUUCACAACAGCUGAGAAAACAUGAAGUCAACUAUCCGACUCAUGAUCUUGAACUAUGUUGACGGUCCUUAAUGCUCACAUUUAAACGUCAACUAACCAUGGAAAAGGACUUAUGUGCAACCAACGCCCAGACUUAGGGUUUUAUCUAACACAAUUCCACGAGUUUUGUGUUUGUCUAUUUCUGCAGGGGGUUAUCAGGAAAUACGAAGGAAAGGCCCACACGUCGGGUUUACAUAGAGAUAUUAACGUGCCGCGCAAUUUUCUAUCAUCUAGAAGACUCCAGAAGCCACGUGAACGAACGGGAAGCCGAGAGGGCUCAGGGACAGGGCGCCCGCCCUACUUCCUAGGGCGCCCGCCCAGCUACAGUGUCCAAUUUAGACCCGUUUCGUGGAUCGUGCUCCACUGACCUAAGGGAUUAAGGAAAACCGUGUGAUUAAUGUCGGUUUGAUCCGAUGGCCCAGAUUCAUCUGAAAAGACUAUAUAAGCAAGGCCCCCUGGCCCCUAGAGAUCAUACCUCUUCUACAGAAUCAAAGUUAGGGUUUCAAUUCUUCAUCCAAGUAGAGAGGAUCCCUCCAGUUCAUCUAGUUCUAGUUCUAGUUCAUCUAGUUCUAGUUCUAGUUAGUUCUAGUUGUAAUCUAGAAAAUAGGGAGAGAGAAGAGGAGAGAGGAGGAGGAGCUGGAUCUGUCGGAUCUUCCUCAACAUUAUAUUUUGCAGCAACUGGUUCGUUCUUCAAUUCAUAAUUUCUGAGUUCUUUAAUUACUUUUAUGUACAUUCAAGUUAUUUAUUGGAUUCCCGCUUGCAUCAAGUGCUCUAGUUUUUAUAACGCUAGAGUAGUAAUUAAUAGAUUAGACGUGGUGUUUAGUCUUGCGAUUACCUGGAAUUGCACCCAAUCCUGCGGAUUGUUGUGGUAGCCUUAGGGUAGUGACAGCCCUAAUGGUCGACGUAUUCCACCACGUUCGGAUCGGUGUUUGUAGGACCGUAGUCAGACCUUCCUAGCCCUCUUCUCAUCUCUUUCUGUGGUUAGUGCUCUGAUGUCCCGAUAUAGAUAAUCUUGAAGUAAUUCUUGAUUCUUAGAUCAACUAGAGAACUCUCAGGAAACUUCCUCUCUUCCCACCAAAAAUAAUCAUAUAGUUAUCCUUGGGCGAUCUUGAAUCUUAAUUAGUACACUCACGUUCCCUGUGGAAAAUCGAUACUCUGAAUACUCCCGGGUGAAGGCUACAUCGGUAUCCGUACGCUUGCGGAUUUUUCUGUUUGCGUUUAAAAUACCCAACAAGCUUUCUGGCGCCGUUGCCGGGGAACGAUAGCUGUGCUAGUUUCGAACCAAGUCGUCCGUGUAUCCUUUUUCUUUUCCUUUUUACCACACUCACCUUAUCAUUUUCACCAUACCACAUGGAUUUCACUCUAAGCAUUAAUGAGCAUGGAAUUUAUUUCAUAGCCACUUCAUUUACUCCAUGCUCAUAUGCACCAUCUUCACAAUCCAUUGGUCUCUCCAACAUCACCACAUUCGAGAUCUCCAACCCCCUCAUCCUUUCUAUUUAUGAAAACUUUAAAAGGGUGGUUGUCGAUGCACAUGUCUAUAAUAAAUUUUGCAGAUCUCGUUGAGUAGAUCUUGAUAUAGGUCAGCGUUGGAGGGGAAACCACCUCGCUGACAUAAAUUAAUGGUUUCCCAAGAACAAGUUUAGUGUCCUAAAAUAAGCACUGAUUAGAUCGUAACAUGAGCUUUUAAUUAUUUGCAACAUUACCUUGUGAAUUGAGCAUAUAAAGGAUAAUUGUAAAAAAAUUCCUUCGGGUAUUCUUGUCACUAACCUUUCCAGGAUUGGAGCAAGAAGAUCGGAUGAAUGACAAGCACAAGGUAUGUACAACCAAUCAUCAUACAACAUUGAAUUAAAUUCAUCCAAACUUGAAUUUUGCAAAAUUCAAGCUUGGGGGAGUACUUUACAUAAAAACAUCCUUUGCAAUGUUGCUAUAUUGGUUGACCCUACCAUUGAGACAUGCUCAAUUUGUUAAAUACUAAUCACACUACUUCAUCUCCACUUGAGUAGAUCUCUAUAAAUGCUCUCAUGCUACCUUUAUUUGCUUUAGUAUAUGUCUAGGUUUGGAGUAGUUUCAUUUAUCUCUUAAUUGAGCUUGGUGCUUAGUUUAGGAAUGAUGAUCUUACUUCCAAGGGGUUUUAAAUUAAGCAUGGUGCUUAUGUUAAAAAAAGCCCUCCUGAAUCAAAUUAGACAUGGUGUCUAGGUUGAUUUUUGAGCCGAUAGUAUGCUAUAGUAGAUAUAGGAUAUUUUGUUGGACUAACCCAUGCAGGAAAACUUUCACUAUCGACAUGGGAAGUCCUGAGAUACACUCACAUUUUUGACAAAGAGAGAGACACAUGAAGUUUAACAAUUUACACAAGGAAGGCAUAGCUCACAAAAGAUGAUCCAUGGAGGGUGCCACAAAAACGAUGCACAACCACUAAGAAAGGAAAGCUUCCACAAGGUGAUACUGUACCAUCACUCUUCAAGUAAGGUAACAUCUUAAGGUACUUGUCUAUCACUUUUAUAAGUUUCUCCUUGGUUCUCGCGUUCACAUGAAUAAAAGAGACAAACAUGUAUGAUUUACAACUCUAGAUUAACCAACCCAAUCGAUUCAACAUGUUUAGUCCUUCCACCUUUGUGAUCCCACGCUUCUAAUCAUAUGAGCUAAAAUGUUGCACACUCAAUCUGUGGGAGAUAUAAAAAAACGUAACUAUAGAUAGAUUAUCUUUCUAUUAGGUUGAGCGAUCUGAUCUGACAAAUGUUUUAAAAUGCUACACUCAUGAUCUUAUUAUCCAUCAACUUUGUCUUGCUCACUAUGCUUAAGGUUAGAGAAGAAAAAAUACACUUUUGGUUCUGUUGGUGUUUUCCACCAACAGGGCCCAUGCACUUGAUCUCCGCCUUGUCUUUAUGAGCAGGUACACUUCGAGCAAAAUAUGAAGGAGUUUUUCAACUCCCAGACUCCACCAAGUGAAGAACCUAGAUCAACGAGCACAAACACACUGGAGAUACUAGACACUCAUGCAAUCACUGCCCUGAGAUGCUUGAAGAUGUAACUACUGGAGUAACCCCGUCAUGGAAGUAAUUACUGACCUUCUGCCGGUCAAGAGCGGCAAUCCAGGAUGCACCGUCAUCCCGAUCUCCAUCGGCAUGGUGGACUUCCUAGAAGCACUCUGCGACUUUGGCUCCAGCGUCAACAUUAUGCCCAGGGGAGGCCAUUCCUAAAUACCUCAGGAGCUGUCAUCUACGCUAGUGCUGCCAAGAUCAGUUUCUACAUCAAGGGAAGGAAGGAGAUGUUUUCCUUCAAGAACAAGACUAUACAAAUCUCAGAUCAAUCCCGACAUGAACCAAGGAAGAGGACCAACAGGAGGAACAGGAACAAGCAAGUGUGGACCGAGUUAGCUAAGAUGGUCACUGCAGUUCAAGGAGGUCAAGAUCAUCUAUUUAAGUCACCGUUCCUGACCAAAAAGGAUGACCCAGGCAUGCCAAGCAUCCAGUGCUCCAUUAAUGGAUGCAACUUCUAGAAGACGCUUUGCGACACCGGGUCAGGCAUCAACAUAAUGGCCGCAGUCACCUAUCAACUCCUGCAUGGAACCAUGUCCCUACAACCAACAUACAUUCAGCUUCAGAUGGCAGAUCAGACAUUCCGAAAUGUUGAAGACAAGUACGAUCCACCCAUCAUUCAUAGGAGACCGUUCCUCAGCACCGUUAAAGCAAUCAUCUACAUUGGAACCGGAGAAGUCCACAUGCACUUCCCCUCUGAAAAGGUACGCCGCUAUUUUACUGACCCUAACUAUAUAGUUGAAGAUUCUAAGCAGGUCAGGACAAGAAGAAGACGACGCAACCGCAACCAGAGGAGGCAAAUCAUCAAGGACGGAUGGGCAGACUACGAAGGAGAAGUGAUAAGGUCUCAAGAAAUACAACUUGAACAGAACUGUCCUGAGGAGGCCGUAGCACCAAGGCAGGUGUGGAGAAAGAAGAUAGUUAUACACGAAGAGGAAGCACCGUCGGAACCACCGACUACGCCAUCCAGCGAAUCUCAGAAUGACUCAGGAAAUGGAGAGUACCGUUCGGAGGACUUAAAAACACCGAACGCCUUGCCAAGAGGUAAACUUGGUAGUUAUCUUUUUCCUUUCAAUUAUUUUAGUUAAUCAGGUUCAUAUCAUCUUGAAAAGAAAAUAAAAAUGUUAAGUAAGCCCCAUGUGAGUAUGCUCAUGGCAUAAAACCCAUAAGUACAUUCACUGUGGUGGCAUCAAAAUAAAAUAAAUAUAUUCCUGUCCUAUAAAAAUAAAAAUAUAAAAAUAAAUUUAUGAUCCUACUAAAGAGACUAACAUUUAUUGAGGAGACUCAACAUGAUAAAGGCUAGAUAUUUAUGCUAACACUUAACUAGUUCCACAAAGCUUUGUUGUCUAUUUGAGCUCCACAGAAUUCAAGGAUCAAAGAAGACUAGCAGACGGAGGACAUCCUACUCGCUGUUAGAGUGCUGCAGACAAUCAAAUUCACCUUCGCCAUGUGCUAGCUACAACAGAAGAAAAUACGUCAAAAUCCAGCUUGGGGGAGAGCACCCCCAUUUAUCCAGCUAAGUAUUCUACUCACGUUUAUACUACUCUAAUAAUAAAAUGAUGCAUAAUCAUAGAAACCCAAAUAAAGAUUUUGUGCUUAUAUAUAUCUUUGCUUAGUUUGCUAAAUAAAUAAAUAAAUAAAGUCUGCUAUGAACCAUCACGAUAAGCUCUCACAUGGAAAUGAUGAAUAUUUACUCUGCCAUGACUAGUUAUCAAAAUUGAAAUCUCUCUCAAGUUUAGGCAUGACUGUUAUUAAUUAAGAUUUGCUCUAAACCUGAACUUGUGGGGAGAGUACUUGAUCUGAAGUCUAAGUCGUUAACGGAUAUGAUAUGGAAAGGUUGAGCUGCUGUUUAUCUGUUCCUAGAGAUGCUAGAAUUCUGGAGAAUUUUAUCUUUGAAAAUCAUUAAAAUAACACAUGAUGAGUUCCUGUAUGAUGAGAGUUUAAAUUCCUACCACAACCAUAUAUACAUGCUUGCUAGACUUUGAGCCACAUAUUUACUUUUUACUGCUUAUGAGCAUUGAGUGUGGUCAAGCUGUGUAGACCCUUAGGAGCUUGUCAUGUGGUUAAAUCAAGAUUCACUUGCACGUUCACUCAUACAUGUUGCUUCUACUUCGGAAGUACCAUCCACAUAUAUCCAUUUUCAUCUCCAGAACCACCUAAAAAUAUUCUACUCCUAAUCCGGGAGAGAAUAGCCAAAAACAUUUAUGUUCUUCCCUAUGAAAUAAAUGCUCAAGUUAUCUUGUUACUACCACUUGCUAUAUUAUCUCAUGAGAUGAGUGCUCUAAUAAAAAAAAGAGAGAAAAAAUUACGAGGAAAUAAAAAGGGGCAAGUGCCCGGAACCUCGAAAGAAAAGAAAAAAAAAAGAAAAAAAAUUGAGACGAGAGGUAAAAAUGGACAAGUGUCCGACAGUAGAAUUAGGGGUACAAGAUACCCACCUGAGAGAAAAGAAAAAAGAAAAUAUAGAGCAUCUCAUUCUCCUCACAAAGUUUCAAAAGAGCAAGAAAGGUAUGUAUCCCCUCAAAAGAGCAUGAGUAGAAUUAGACUUUCACCAUUGUUAUCACCAUCAUCACCAUACACCAUUCAUUCGCCACACAUGCACAUCUUGAUUUGACUUAUUGACUUGUUCUUCUGGAUCCAUGGUUUGACUAUGCAAUAAAUGUCUUGUAAGUAUGUAUUAGCUGUCUCCCUCCUAUGAGCUCCAGAUAUCAAAAGCCUUAUUAGAGUAGGGUGAGAGAGAAGGCAAUGCCACUAUGCCUUAUACCACAAAUACCACAUACUUUGAGAGAAGGCAUACACCAUUAAUGCCUUGGUAAGGAUCCAGAAAUACCACAAAAGAGAGACUAGAGAGAGUCAUACAAGGAAUCUCUGAGUUUUAUUUGAAAAUCUGCAAAAACUCCAGAGCCAUAGCAGAUCAAGAAUAAGAGACAUGGUGCUUGACUAGACCGUUCUAUCUUUUAACUACUCAAGACAGAAGUGACGGUUACAAGUCCCAUGGUGAAAGGUAAAUGAGUAAGUUUUAAGUCUUAACAGUUUACUCUAACCAGAGAUGAGAUCUUGUUUAAACGCAUGUGUAUCUUUAAGUUAUGAAACCACUGCAGAAACUCUUGAGUUCAUCUUUGCUCAGGGACGAGCAAAGGUUAAGCUUGGGGGAGUUUGUUGACGGUCCAUAAUGCUUACAUUUAACCAUCAACUAAUCAUAGAAAAGGAUCCAAAUGCAACCAACACCUAGACUUAGGGUUUUAUCUGACAGAAUUCCACAAGUUUUGGUGUUUGCCUAUUUCUGCAGAGGGUUAUCAGGAAAUACGGAAGAAAGGCCCACACGUCGGGUUUACAUAGAGAUAUUAACGUGCCGCACAAUUAUCUACCAUC
Molecule: long non-coding RNA, 82113 nt
Filed under: Sorghum bicolor (sorghum)
Lineage: Eukaryota; Viridiplantae; Streptophyta; Magnoliopsida; Poales; Poaceae
Description: long non-coding RNA (SBIC_LNC010947)
Source: RNAcentral